RNAcentral lists this long non-coding RNA (66693 nucleotides) under Coffea arabica (coffee). RNAcentral describes it as "long non-coding RNA (CARA_LNC005331)". Lineage: Eukaryota; Viridiplantae; Streptophyta; Magnoliopsida; Gentianales; Rubiaceae. The record is from RNAcentral.
ACGCAGAGUAAGUGAUUCUAGUUGACUCAAACAGUCAAACACGAGAAUCCCGUCGCCAAUUCUAGUAGGUUCUUCGCUUGAUUCCGUCAUCUUACAUCUUAGCCUGCGGAUGUUUGGUAACUUUGUCAGUAUCUUUUGUAAGCUUUGAGAGGAGGGAUCAAUGGCAAGGCUUAAAGCGUCUAAAUGAAGUAAGCCUGGGGAUACUUCAAGAUUUUCAACAGGAAAAAUAAAACCAACAGAGGAAUCUGUAGUCCACAGAUGCCUCAAUGUCUUAAUGUUCCAGAUAGUCUUGGGUAACAAACAAUCAGCGUUGUUUCCUCGUAGCAGAAAAGUUUGUAACCUCGAGAGGUUAGCAAUUGCAGUUGGGAUAGAAUCUAUUAAGUUAAGACGAAGAGCCAAGUAUCUCAAGUGAGCAAGCAAAAAUACUUCCAUAGGAAAAUAUGCACCAAACUCCAAUUCCCCCAAAUCCAACACUCUAAGAAGUUUAGGUAACCAAAAUCCCAAAUCAUCCUCUUUAAACAAUAACAAACUGCGUACAUUGGGAAAUUCUAACAUUAACUCCCAAAUCAUGAAAUUCCUGCCAUUUUGAUCACAAACUCGGAGGGGGUUGCUUGGGCCAGUAAGAAUAAAACGAUCAUUCCGACCAUGCAAAACAUGUAGAAAGUUUUCUUCUUUGGCUUUUUUCACACAAAACUCAUGUACCAAAUCAUGAACUCGGCAGGCUUUGGCACCACCCAUAGAUCUUUGUUCAGAAACCAUAACUAAACUUCUAUCAACCAGAUCCUUCAAAUAGUCAUUUGCCGCAUCCUCUAAACUCUUUUCUUCAGUCUUUCGCACGAAGCCUUCAGAGAUCCAGAGCCAUAACAACCUUCGGAUAGGAACAUUUUCAUCUUCUUUAUAUGCACCAAAGUAAAGGAGGCAUGGCUUCAAAUCAUCCGAUAAAUGACUGUAACUCAGCUCAAGCGUCUUCCUGCAGUAUUCGUCAUCAAGGACAAUACUGGAAGUUAGACUCUCUGCAACUUCUUCCCAGCAGUCUUCUGCAGUAUUAGCAAGAAUUCCAGCAACGAGGACAACUGUGAGAGGUAAACCCCUACAUAAUUUUGCUAUUUGAGAUCCAACUUUACCCAGUGCCGGAGGAAAACCUUCUUUGCCAAAUACCUUUUUCUGCAGCAAUUUCCAACUCUCUUCGUUGGUAAGCUGACGGAGAUUGUGAGCCUUGCUAUUAGGAUUGAAUUGCAAUUGAAUUCUGUUGGUGAAGAGAAUCCUACUUCCAUUAGCAUCAUCGGGCAAUGAACUUUUGACCAAAUUCCAUGCCUUAAUCUCCCACACAUCAUCCAAAAAAAUGAGAUACCUAUUUCUCUUUAAAAGUUUGUACAGCUUGUGAGCCAAAUCACUUUCGUCCAUCUCAAGAUAUUGAUCAGGACUUUUAGAAGAAAUACUACAUAAAAGCUGAACUAACAAACUGUGCAUGCUAUACACGUGAGAAACAGUACACCGAGCAAGGAUAUGAAAGUGGCUUAAAAUUAAUGGAUCAGUAAACUCUAUUGGCCAUUGUUGUCUUACCAAGUCCAGCCAUACCCACAAUUGAAACAAAAUCCAACAGCUUUGAACCCCUGGUAAGACUAUGAAUAAUUGUCUUUACCUCAUCAUCAAGACCCACCAGAACUUCAUUCAACACUGGGGUGCUACGUUUUGCCUCAAUGCGGAAAGAUUUCUGGUUAGUUCUCUGAGCUUCAUAGUCAUGCCUCGUGCUAUCAUAGGUUUCAAGGGCCUCAGUCCUCAAAAGCUGGAUAUCGCUGGCAACUCUUUCCAAAUAUUGAUGUUUAUCACCAACCACUAUAGAGUCAAUGACAAACUCUGCCCUGUGUGCAACCUCCAUAACAUGACUCCAAAGAGAUUGGAGUUUUCCAUUCCGGUUGCGCUGGUCUACUAUUUUGGCAAGGAAAGAUCUUAAGAAUACGAGAUCUUCUAGGACUGUGUGGAUUUGAUCUUCUGGGAAUGCAAUUGAAUCGUCAGCCUCAUUACAACUUUCUAGUUCCUUCAGAUUUUCAAGCAGAAAAUCCAUACAGCCCAACUCAUUGGUCCUAGGAAAACCAAAUGGCGAGAAUGAUGUUACUGGAUCGGUAACUUCUGCCCUAAUAAACUUGAGCGCUUUAAGCAAAUGAAAAAGAGCAAGAUCGGUUUCCUUGGCCAAGCCUUCUUUGAUUUGAUUCAGAGAGAGAGAGAAGAUUACAACCGCUGCAUCGCAGGACACAACUCCAAUCAGAUUCUUCAUUUCAUGGCAUAGCUCUUUGAACUUCUCCUGAUGCCUGAGGAGGAUUGUCAGGAAUCUUAGCCCCUCGACAAAUUUGAGCAUUUGAUUCAUAAUCGGGACUGGAGUACUGGUACAAGAUUUCAGCAGCUCCUUAAUAUUGUGAACGAGAUAAUCCAUAAAGUCAACUACUAGAUGCUUAUUCUUCUCCAGAGCUGAAGUGUCUGAUGAUCUUGAUAACUUUGCAGCAGUCAAGACAUGGAUGUAACUUUCUCGGACCUGGGGAUCACCGGGAUUAAUCUUCUCGCGUAUUAGUCGAGUCAUUUGAAGUUCUGUUUCAUUCUGUACUUCUUUAUUUGUGUGAAAGCACCAUACAGAAGCCAGGUGUAAUGCAUUGAUAGCCACCACUUCACCGUGAAUCAAGAGAUCUAUCAGUUGCUGACCCUUGACGCCGCGAAGCAUGGCAAAAAGAAUGAAACUCUUCAAGAACAUUAGGUUCUCUACAAGGCGUUCCAAAUGGAAUCCAUUCAUUUUAGCCAGAGCCUUUGAAACCGAAUCAAUGAAAUCAAUAACUAGUUCUGGAUCUCUCAGCCAGUAAUACUCCAACAAAAAGUUGAUGCACGGUUCCUUGAUAUGUCGCUCGAAAAACAACUUGAUUGCUUCCCGAAAUCUGGUGAGCUCACGUAGGAUCUGAGUCAAACCAGCUAAAUGAGAAGGAAUCAAGCAUUCGCUGCAAGCAAAUUCAAGAUCUUGCAUUCUUCUGAUAAUCAGAUUUUGAAUUCUGAAAGAAGUAACAUCCUUCUCUUCCUUAUCUUGUUCCAAACAGGUUUUAUGGUUCCUCCUCCUCCUCCUACACUUUGUCAGAUACAGAUCAAAGCUUUGUAAAAGUCUCACGUCGAUCUCCAGCUCAUAGAUAACAUCACCGAAAUAAUGGAAUGUCUUAUCGAUCAAGCCCAGAAAAUCGAGAGCGAGUUCAAAGCAACUACGGCUACUGCUGCAGCAUAUCUCCAUUGUUGUACCUUCUAUUCACUCUGAGAUCAUAUUUGCAUCUUGAAUAAACUUUAGUUCAAGGUUUACAACUUUUCUCAUAACCUGAAAAUAGUCAAAUAUUGUCGGCAAGUUGUGUUGGUAGAGACAUUUAGGGUCCCCACCCCGGAGCCUAAGCGAGACAGCUUUUGUCUACUUCCGGCCCAACGUGCAUUUCGAAAUAAUGGAUCCUAAAGCAGUAAAUGGUUGUAAUACUACGGUAAGUGCAACAUUGGUUUUGAUACUAGGGCAGUAAAUAGUAGUAAUUUUACCAGAAUGUAAACACCCUAGUCGAAAUUGCUCAAAGUUAAUAGUUGAACUAUUUUUUUUUCCCAUCAAAACCAUUCAUUAUCCUUGUCAAAACUCCGCGCAUAUUAAUUGAACAAUUCUUGUAAAUCCAAUUCAUAUGCGAAGUCACAACAAAAAUCCUACCAAUUUAGAAAGAGUUCAUUUAUAAAAAAAAAAAAAAAAGUGAUUUUAAAUCACGACAUUUCUUUCUAAGUGAGAGACAUAAACAUAAGAAUCCCUAAAAUUACAAAGAGUUGGGUUAUCCAUUAAUUUGUUUUUGUCUUAACUCAUAUAUGGCUUUCUAUAUAAAAAUAUUAAUGAAUUUUAACUGUGAUUCUCUUAUCAAAAGGAAUUGAAUUGUUCUUUGAACUACUGUACAGGAGGGCGGGAAAAAACCAUAGCAAUUAGCUAGCAUAAAGCCAUCAGGAAGACUAAAUUGCUAAAAUCAUCUUAGGGACAAGAGUUUGCUAGUAACCAAACAAUCAUAACAAUGAAAAAACAUCCAUUUUUAAUGAAAAAUCACCUUGACAAACAUUAAGAUAUUAGCCCAACAUUUGAAUUUUCCAACUGAAAAUUGAAGAAAUAUAGCAUCCCCUUAGAAAAGGUAUUUGCCAACCACCUUAAAUCAGUAAUCCAAAUUUCAGGCUUCUAAAGUCUUCCAGAUAUAUUGCCCAUUUUUAGCUUUUCUUUCGACAAUGUACUUCGAUACUUAUAAGUAAAACAAUAUGAAGAUAACAAGAAAUAACAUGCCCAAAAGGUAAAUCAUCCGAUCUACCUCUUCCAAGUAGAAAAUAUGAUCUAGACUCUCAACCUACUUAAAAAGGCUACAUUAAGGAAGUUGAUCGCAUAAAAGACGAAGCAAGAAGAAACAUACCAAAGAAGCCUACCAUUAAAUGUAUCCUAGGAUCCCUAGAUUGUUUAACUAAAAUGAUAAGCCGAGGCUACUGAGAAUUCACCUAAACUUGUCAAAGACCAAGACAUAUUUGUCCAUAGAGUCACCAAGAGGAGGAUUUGUAUGGUAAAAUUUUGGAAAAGUGCAAAUCUUCCUCGAACACCAAAAAUUGAGGCUUAAAGUUCCUUCAAGUGUUGGAAAAGUCUACAGCGAGGAAGAGUAACCAUAAGUCACAAAUGAGUGACUAAUGUAAUACGACAUGUAGGUUUUAAUAAGCUAUUAUAUAAGUUUCACUAGGGACAAAGUUGUGGCAGUAAAUUGUGUAUAACCAAUAGUAAGUUUUUGUAUAAAAGAAAUGAAUUUCACAGUUUCUGUAACUAACUCUUUAAAUAACAAUCUUAUUAAAUUUUUAGUAUCACUUUUGGUCCAAAUCUUAUCAUUUUUUAUAUAAAACAUAUCUUACUAAUUUUUCAAGCAAAACUUACCGUUUGUUCAAACACAGAAGUUAUUACUUGUUCAAGCAUAAUUUAUUACAUUAUUAACAUAUCUUAACAUUUUUUCAUGCAAACCAUUCCAAUUUUUAAGUAAAAUUUACCGUUCUUUUAUUGAAACUCACAACUACUUUUUUAUGACUAAAAAGCUCUUGGUAAAAUUUAUCAUCCUGUUAAUGAUAUUUACAAAAUUUCUUCAGGCACUUUUUAUGCUUUUUUUUUAAAAAAAAUACUCUUACUUAGCAAAAACAUAUAGCGUUAUUAGCAAAACUUAUUACUCUAUAACAUUUUUCUAUGAAUAAUUUAGUUAGUGCAUACAAUUUUCGAUCUGUAGCUUAUAUAUUCACAGUCAUUGCUUAUUUACAAUUGAAUACGUGUUUAAAUAAAACUAUAUUCUAACAAAACACUAAAUUUUUUACUCUACGCAACCAACCAAUGCCUUAAGAUGAACAUUGCACUAGUCCUUAAAGUAUAGCACUAUUCUUUCUCAUGAAUAUUAUUGAUAAUUUUAUUGCAAAGUGUAAUUUUAUUAGGAACAUACCAAUUUUCUUAGUAAAUUUACAACUAUAUUAUUAACGAUUCCUGGUUUUUGCAAACAUAAGAAAACAUCUUAUAAGUUUGCAUGUUACUCCCUCCGUCCCAUUUAUUUCGUCAUGUUUGGAGAAUUUAAUUUUUUAAUAAUAGUGAUUUGAUUGUAAUGUUUGUGCUUCUUUUUUUAAUUUUACUCCUACAAAUUUAAAAUUUAAAUUUAAAUGAUAACAUGCAUAUUAUUAGAAAUAAGAAUUAUAUUAAAAAGACAGAUUAAAAGAUAUUUUGACUUUUUUAAUAUAAUAAUUAUUUUAAAAUAUUUCAAAAUAGAAAGUAUAACAUGAGAGGAGAGAGCACUGUUUAGGAUGUUGACAACUACUAUAGUCAAAUAUUUGGCAGACUCUUUGUUCUUGUCCUUUUUGCAGCUUCCAAGACUGUUUAUCUUGUCUUGGUCUGUUUGGGGGAGACUUUAUGAAUUAUGAUGCAAGGGGAGCCGUGCGUAAUGGAUCCCGCCGCACCGCUGCACGAUGGAAAAGCGAUGAUGUCUACUUGCUUGGGUCCGGCAAACCUAAUUCAAUACAACCAAUCGUUUGAAUCGGAAUGGAUCUUCGGUCACAUUUAUUUUCUCUAUCAAUCUUUGUCCUACUUUAAUUAAUUCAGUUGAGUUUUACGUAGAAGAUCAAUUUAUUAAUCCAGUUGCUCCCAAGAAGUGCAGAAGGAGAAAAGACUAUAUAAAAUUAUUAAAAUGAUGCAAACACUUAAACCUACCAAGCCAAAUACUGUGACGCCUUGGCCAUAUACAGAAUCCAGUAGCAGAUAUUAAGCAAAAACCCAUUAGAAAAAUGCAUUAUUUGUUUUGCUAUUUAUCCAUAUGAAAUUCUAAUCAUAUAUUUCCUUUGAGGACAAUAGGAUGGGUUUAAUUUAGGCACAUAGAUCUUUUUUUUUUUUUUUCGUUGAAGAGGCACUAGGUAUUGUAGUAUUCACAGAAACAAAAGUCCGUACAUCUGCUCAUGUUGAACACUAAUAGUGCAUAAAAAAAAUAGCAUAUGUAUGCAAUGAUAGUGCAUAAAAAUAUUAUAUCUGAAGAAUCACAAAAUUUUUUGUGUGAAUUUAUUAACGCUUUAGUUGUAUAGAAUAGAAUCAAUGAUUUCUCUAAUUGAAAUAUAUUUUUUGAAAUUUUUAUAGAAAAAUAUACCAUGGUGAUUUGAUAUAUGCAACAUAAAAAAAUGAUUGAGAAAUAUAUUCAUAAAAAAUAUAAAAACUAAGCUCCUAACUAAGUUGGUGUUCACAAGGGUAAUGAUGGUAUUCAUGGGAAAAUAGUUUAAGCUAUUAGUGUGAGCAGUUCUGGGUAUGGUAUUUACAUGUUAAAUUUUAUGGACCAUUGAGGCCUUAACAACAGAUCCCUUGAAGACCUAUGCAAGGUAAAUAUGCUAUGUGUCUAUAUUAAAAAAAAGUUUAGAAAUAGAUUUGAAUUUAUGGGUUUUUUAUUUUUCAAAUUAAAUAUUACUUUGCAAAGAUGUUUUUGAUUUGUAAUUCUGUAUACCUAAAAUCUAAUACUGCAAGACAAUUCAUAUUUUUAUUAAAACCUUUUUCUUUUCUACACUACUAGUGAUGGGCUCACAAUUUGUCGCAUUCAGAAAUCCCAUUUUUGGCCCUUUUGUUUUCAAACCCAAGUGAAUAUUGGCCAAACAUAAAUUGGAGAUGCAGAUUGGAUGACAAGAUAUCAUCAGCUUCAGCUUAAGUCAAGCUUUGAAGAUAAUUAUGUAUCCAUCAAAAUAAUCUUCAAUUUUCUUCUUACAAUUUUCUUCUUACACUUUUUAACCAGAUUUCCUUCUUACAAUUUUCAAUUUUCAAGUCAUGCAAUAAUGGAAUGUAUUCUUUAGCUCUGUACCGUGUGAUUUAUGGCAAGAAGUAGGCACUCAGCUAAGUGAAUACAAAAUUUAAGGGAAACAUAAAACAAAAACCUGCUGCAGACCAGCCUGAUGAAGCAGUGAGAUCUACCUUGGGCUUAGCUGGAAAAGAGGUCAUGUUGAAGGCAGUUGCAAUGGCCAUGCCUACGUACGUAAUGUCAUGCUUCAAGCUGCCAUGUCUAAUUUCUGGUGGGGUGAAACCGAGGGAAGAAAUAAAAUGCACUGGAUAUCUUGGGACAAAAUGGUAGCACACAAAAACACAGGUGGCCUUGGCUUCAAGGAUUUGGAAGCCUUCAAUAAAGCUCUACUGGGUAAGCAGGUAUGGAGGUUACUAACUAAGCCAAACCUUCUUGUCAGUAAGGUGUUAAAAGGCUAAAUAUUUCCCUCAAGAAUCCAUUUUACAAUGCACCCCUCCUAAGAACGGAUCAUGGAUUUGGCAAGGAUUAAUGGGAGCAAGAGGUUUACUAGAUGAAGGCUUGAUGAGGAGAAUUGGAAAUGGCAGAAGCACGAGAAUUUGGGCCCACAAAUGGAUACCAGAGACACCCACGGGGAAGCCAACUAUGUGCAGAACAAGUAAUUGUGAGCUGGAAAUGGUGGAUGAGCUAAUAUGCCAGCAGAGAUGGAACAGGACUAUCAUAUUCAGCAACUUCCAUAAAGAAGAUGCUGAGAAGAUCCUCCGUAUCCCCCUAAGCCUAUCUGGGAGGGAAGAUAGCUUCUACUGGAAACCAAAUGCGGGAGGGGAGUAUACAGUUGAUUCAGGAUAUAAAAUGUUGAUGGAGAAAGGUAGAAGCAAAAGGAAGUGCAAAUUGGAGGGAGCUGGAUCAAGUAUUUCAGAAGAAAGCCAACAAAUGACUCAGAUGUGGAGUACACUGUGGAGGCUUAAUAUUAAGCAUAAAAUCAAACACUUCAUCUAGAAGUGUAUUAAAGGAGCCUCACUAGUCAGGGAGGCAGUGUGGAGACGAACAGGAAUAGGUGAUCCUAUAUGCUCAACUUGUGGUGAGGCACAAGAAACCAUAGAACAUCUGCUGCUCAACUGUUCCCAUGCUAUGGAUAUAUGGAAAUCAGCUCCCAUUCAAUGGGAUGGAGCAACAGACCAAAAGGGAGAUUUCAAGAGAUGGUGGCUGCGAAUUUCAGAAGCAAGGACUAGACCAGAAGGGAAGGAUCAUAUUGGACUGACAGCAAAUAUACUGUGGCAGGUAUGGAAAGAUAGGAAUAAGAAGGAAUUUGAGAGCUCAGCUAGAUCAACACCAAUGAGAACAGUAGACCGUGCGCAUAAAGAAUGGCUGGAACAAGGUGUAGAGCUCCAACAGGGCGAUAGGAAGAGUACAGAAGAAACAGUCCCUGCAAAUGAACAACAAAGCCAGAGUAAUGGAAACGAAGGGGCUAUAAUUUUAGAAGUGACAACAGCAAAGAAGCAAGAACAGAAUGGCCUUGGAAUAGGAGUCACAGUAAGAAUAAUAGCAAACACUAAAAUUGCAGACUGGGUACUGAAAGAGAGAAGCCUGGGGAGUAAAAUUUUGGAUGAAGCAUUGGCAUUAAAACUAGCUCUGUGUAAAGCUGUGCACCAGCAGUGGAGAAAGGUACGACUCAACUUUUGCAACAAAGAGCUAUGGAAACAACUAAUACAGCAACAACCAACAGAUAGCAAGAUGGCUACAUUGCUGGAGGAUAUUCUGAAUCUGAAAAGACUGUUUUGCAUGUACUCUUUUGGGUUGGAAAGGGAAGAAAAUAUGUUAGAUAGUAGAAAACUGAGUGCAGACACUUUAAGCGUAAUUGUGGAUGAGGAAAGAAUUUUCCUCAGUGUUCUUUGAACACUUUUUGUACAGUUCCCUCGAGCCGUUGCUUGUACAUGUAACUUGUUUUUUAUGAUAAUAAAAUUUCCUAUCGUUUGGACAAAAAAAAAAAAAGAGAUCUACCUUGGGCAUCAUUAUGCUUUUUAAGGACUGUGAGAUAGAAGCCCUGAUAUUGCAUAAAAUCUUUUCAACAUAUCUGUGAAACUAUUUUCGUAUUUUACGGUCUUUGAGUCUCAGUUGUGAUCACUGUAAGUGCUUACUUUAAAUAUUCACUGAGGAAGAGCUAUAUCUGGCAAAUGCAAAGAUAGGUUAGCAACCAUAGAUCCGUCUCAUUUUUGUUGUUUUGCUUAAAAUCUUUGCUCACCCAUUAAGGUUUACGUUUCUGUGGUUUACCCCAAACAGUUAGCAGUAUGCUUACGGUAAUGAAAUGCACAUGCUCUGCUCUUGGCAACAAUAUCUGCAGUUUUUUGGGAAAAUAAAUGGGACAAGCUGAUAGCUUAUUUCCCAAACUCUGAUGAAUGGUUCAGUGAUCCACAAAGAUUGUGUCCUACAGAAUGUGGAGAGAAAUCAGACUCUUGGCUGACUCUAAGCCUGUUGUUGCAUCAAUGGCUGAUGUGGCAGCUAGUGGAGGAUAUUAUACGGCAAUGGGAGCUGGAAUUAUAGUUGCAGAAAAUCUAACAUUGACUGGUUCAAUUGGAGUUGUGACAGGUAAUUGUGGAAACUCCAAGUGAUAAUUUUCUUAAAUUAUAUCUGUUCUUUGUUAUGUGAUUUAUAUGUCAUUUGUUGUUUAAGACCUUGUCAGUAGCUAUGGUGAUGAGUUUUGUAUGAGCAGAAACCAACUGGAUAAAAGAGAUAAUGAUUCCACAAGAAAUGCAUGUAGCAUUUUAAAUGUGUUGCCUGGCUAUAAAUAAGCAGUCCCAAUGGCACUCUGGUAUUGUCUAUGGGAAUAGCAUUUGAUAGGGCCCAAGUCAGGAGUCAUUACUGCAUUACUGCAUGCAAUUGCUGUAAUUCUCACCUUAGACAAGUUUAGAAUGCAGGAUAAGCUACUUGUAAUGUUAUAAAUCAGAUUUAGGUGGGAAUGCUAUCUAAUUUGAUAAUCAACUGCAGGAAUGAGGUCACCUGUGUAAUUAGAUGUACCUAAUUGUGAUUUAGCUAGCAAAAGUAAUUGUCUGCCAGGUCUUUUCUUUCCUGUUCUACUGACGCGGCAUUAGUGGAAAUUUAUUUUGUGUUUUCCACUGAUUUGUUAUGGCGAGCUCUGAUAGCUUUGGUUAUUAUUUCUCACAGUUCGAUUUUUUCUGCCUUUAUUUGAAUGCCUUUUCUUUUUCUCGUACAGUUGUUGCAAAUAGAUGAGUAGUGUUCGUUCUUUAAAUUAAGCACCUUUGACCCAAGCCGAGCUUUCCAUUGGAGAUUGCACAAAAUGAAUUCAUGCACUAUUGGCAGAUUUUGUCACUGUUUUGGUGCAGGAAAGUUCAAUCUGGGAAAAUUAUAUGAAAAGAUUGGCUUUAACGAGGAGAUAAUAUCAAGGGGGAGAUGUGCUGAGCUCACCGCUGCAGAACAACGGCCAUUUAGGUUAGUUUUUGUUCUGCUGUUUGGUGAAUUUCUAUAUGUUAAUUAAAAAUGGACAGCAUUUCCUUCAUCAUUUACAAGACAAAUUUAUGAAAAAAUAAUGGAUUAAGGAAAAAAAAAAUGGUGUUACAGUAUAGAUGCUUCUUUUCUAGCCCAAGUAAUUCACUUCCUGAACAAGAAUAUUUGAUGUGCCACAUAUGCCCAUGUUGCCUAUUAUCAGAUAUUAGACGGCAAAACUGGAGCAGUGGAUUAUGCCGAUCUUCGAGUGAGGCACAUUUAUGUGGCCAAACCAUUCUUCUGCGCAGAUUUAUUAGCUUCGUGUUUGUGAUUUCAUUUACCCUUGAUAUCCAUUUUUGGGGUAGCAGUCUGCAGACAUGCUUAAGUUUGUGCCCAGGCAUACAGAAAAUGGGGUUAAUUCUUUCUUGUCUUGCAUCUCCUCCUGCACCCCUUAAGUGCCAUUCUUUUUGCAUUUUUAUCCAUGUACUCCAUUUGGAAAAGAAAAAAGGAAUGAUAAAGAAACUACCUGUAAAUGCUGGGAAUGAAAACCCAAUAUGUACACUUGAUUUAAGCUUUUGCAUGAUUGAACAACAAAAUUGAUCUUGAUUGCAGUUGAUCUGAAACUACAUGCCCUAGGCUUUUUGAUUGCAGUUUUAGAGUUAGGAUACUAAGAUAUAUGUGUUGGAUAAACCUGAGAAGCAUUACAUAAGGAAAACGUGAUUCGGGUACUGGAUCUGUGUUUAGCCAUCAUGGUUGAGCAUUUCUGUUCUGUCUGCAAAGUGUGAUGCUAAAUAAUCGGUGCUUGAAGUUUUCUCUUGCCGGCGGAGCUUGUUUACAUGAUAUCUGCAAUCGAUUUGAUGAGAUGGGCUUCACUUUUCUGUUAUGUUAAUUUUUCUGUUGGAUUGAUGAUGAUUCAUGUUCAGGUUACUCUUGUUGAGCUGGUUAAACCAUCGCCAUCGCUGCCAGAGAUUUUAACUGGCAUAGGAAACUCUCUCGUCGGAGCAGACAGAAUUUUGAAACAACUAUUGGAUGAAUUGGCAGUUUCUGAUGGAAUUCAAGCGCGCAUGGACGGGAUUUUGUUUCAAAAGUUGGAAGGGGCUGAUUAUUCCAGUCCUAUAUUGACAAUGGUGAAAGAUUACCUGGGUUCACUUUGACUUCAAUGUAUAAUUGUUCGCGUCCAAAUGAGUUUCAUAGCAGCGUGGCAGUCACCACAGACCCUAAGAUUCUUGUAUAUCCUAAUGGGUGCUCCUUGUGGCACAUAUAGAAGGCCAAACGCAACGGCCAACUUCUCACUAUGGUAGGCAAGACCUUGUUCCUUACCCUCGUCGUUGAUGUCAUGGAGUGCAAAAUUCACGUCUGGUACAUAUCCAGCGUUCUUGAUUAAACCCAUGACUUCACUAGUUCUCAAGUAGAUCUGAUCGGACUUUGGAUGGCUUCUAUCUUCAGACAUAAAUCUGUGCACCUUACCGUUCAUUUCGAGCCAACUAUAUACCCAGGCUCCUUGCUUAUGCACUUUGAUUUCAUCAGUUUCCUCACUGCUGCAGCAUCUUCCCACUUGCCAGCUUUAGAGUACAUAUUAGACAGCAUAACGUAAGGGACAGCAUCUUUUGGCGUCAAUUUAAACAGGACCGAAGCUGCCUUCUUCGCCAGGUCUAUAUUCCCAUGUUUCCUACAUGCAGCAAGGAAAACUUUCCAAACAGUCGCACCAGGCUCCACAGCCAUUUCAUCGAGCAACUUUUCAGCUUCGAGCAGUUUUCCUGCACGUCCCAGAAGGUCAACCAUACAUGCAUAGUGAUCAGGACCAGGCCUUAUUCCAUGAACAUUUAUCAUGGAUUCAAAAUAUCUACAUCCCUGAUCAAUAAGCCCUGCAUGGCUGCAAGCAAAAAGUAUUCCUGUUAGCCAUUGACUUGAAAACUCUGUCGGCCUCUUCUAAGCAGCCACAAUUUGCAUACAUUGUCACAAGAGAGUUGUCAACCAGUAAGGAUGACUGAAGUCCAGAUUUCAUGAAAUUUGCAUGAACUUGUUGUCCAAACUCUAGCAAAGCCAACUCUGCACAGGAACUCAAGAUGCUAGAAGUGAUAACUUGGUCAGGUUCAACACCAGAAUUUCUCAUCUUGCAGAACAACUUCAGGGCUUCUUCAUGGGAGCCAUUAUGAGCGCAACCAGUAACAGCAGAGGUCCAAGAGAUCACGUCCCUGUCCAAUAUAGUGUUAAACACCUUAAAUGCAUAACUUAAAUCUCCCUGUUUUGCAUACAUAUCCACAAGGGCAUUGCCAAUGAGAUUAUAGCCUUGAAAGCCAGUCUUGAUCACUCAACAAUGAACGGAUUGUCCUAUUUUCACAUCCUUUUUGGAAGUAAGACAGUUCAAGACGGAUGGGUAAGUGAAGUCAUCAACUCCGAUAUCCCUCUCAUGCAUCACCUUAAAUAAUGACAAUGCUUCCUCUUCAUACCCAUUUUUCACAUACCCAAGUACCAAUGAAUUCCAAGAAACCGCAUGAUCAGCUUCCAUUGACUCCAAUACCUUCCUAGCACUAUGCAAGUCCCCACAUUUAGCAUACAUGUCAAUUAAUGCACUCUGAACAAAGACGUUUGCUUCAAAACCUUCACGAACAAUGCAACAAUGCACCUGUAUCCCAAACCUAAUAUCAGAAACAGCAGCACAUGCUGUCAAAACUCCUCGAAAGGUAUAUUGAUUUGCCUCAACCCCUCCACCUUCAUGCCUCUGAAACAAUGAAUUGUUUUGUGUGCAUCACCAUUCAGCGAAUAGCCAUUAAUCAUAGCGGUCCAAGUAACAUGAUUUCUCCCGCUAGGCAUCUCUUCAAAUAGCAACUCAGCUUCCAUCACACACAAGCACUUUGCAUACAUAUCAAUAAGGCCAGUGAUUACAAAUACAUUUGUGUCAAAAUUGGUCUUAGUGGCAUAUCCAUGGACCUGUUUGCCUUUCAAAAGCAAACCGUUUACAGAGCACACCCUUAGAAGACUGCCUAAUGUGUACUGACUCGGCUUGCAGCCCUCGCAUUGCAUCUCCCAAAACAACAGAAAACCUUCAGUUUCAUACCCGUACUUGCAAUACCCACAAAUGAGGAAUGACCAGCUGAUUUAACUCUUAUUUGGGGCAUCAUCAAACACUUUCUUUGCUUCAGUUAACCUCCCUAAAUCAGCAUACCCAGAAACCAUAGUGUUCCAAGUGAACCCAUCUCUUUGGGGAAUUUUCUCAAAUAGUUUCCGUGCUUCGUCUAUUCGGCCUGAUCCCACCAGCUCUUUCAAAGAUCUAUUGAUGCCAAGCAGUGAAGAUUUAGUGCUUGCCAAGCUCGCAAUGCUGCAAGCUUUAAGACUCAAAUCGAAGCACCAAUCUGGAUAAGAAGAAGACUCUGUUAAUAAACUAUUGUACCGCGAGCAUAGUUUGUACAUGAGCACAGGCUUUUCUUUCUGCAGCCUCGGCCAGAAAAAAUCGUUAUUCGCUUGUCAGUCUAAGUGAAAGGCGUGAAACUAAUCUCUAACUUGUCCUAACGACUUCAAGUUACAUUACAAUGCCAAUAUCUUGGCAAAUUGGUCAGUGAAGAAGCUUAACGACUCAACAAGGGUCACGACUAGCGUUGUAAUCGAGUCGAUACUCGAGCUCGACUCGACAUACAACUAGGGUGUUCGAGCUCGAGCGAGUAGUAUUAUUGGAGCUCGAGCUCGAGCUCGAAGCUUGCUCGCAGUACUCGAGCUCGACUCGCAUGGGUUCGAGUCCAUUCGAGCCUUAUCGAGUUCGCUCGAGCUCGAGUUAUUAAACUUUAUUUUCUUAAUAUUUUUUAAGCAAAAAGACAUUAUUGCCCUUUUAAAAUUUUUAUAUGACUUGAAACAUUUCGUAAAUUCGACAAUUCUUUUGGGUAUAAGGGUAAUUUUAUAAUAAUAAUAUAUUAAAUAAUUAAAAUUAAAAAUAUUAAAUAAUUAAAAUUAAAAUGCUCGAUAAGGCUCGUUGAGCUUUCGAGCAUCGCUUCUAGAUGCUCGAACUCGACUCGACAGUCUUAUCGAGCUGCUCGAACUCGGUUUGACCGAGUUCGAGUCAAAUUUUUGACCGAGCUGCUCGCGAGCUACUCGCGAGCAGCUCGGUUCGAUUACAUCCCUAGUCACGACUCACGAUGACUUGAGUCCCUUGCGAGUCGAACUCUAAGUUUUGUGAGCAAUGCAUCAAGGUUAAGCUGGAGUUUCAGUAAUAUUACUCGCUUGAGAUUGAGUAUCUUUAUGCAUGUUAAGUAGAGUUUGAAUAUAAUGAUACUCGAGUGUAACUUAACUUGAUUACAUCCCCAAUCGUUUUAUUAUGUCUUUCAUUUUAAUAAUUUUCACGAAAUUAAAAAUUACGAUGGAGCUAGCAGGAAAUUAGCUUGGGCCUUGGGUUAGACAAGGAGAAAAGAUGGCUAGGAAUUCCCCAAAAAAAAAAAUCCCCCAAAAAUUCUGCAGCACUUGCAUACAGCCUCAAUUUAAUAAUAGUAACUUCUAUGUCAUCUAUAUAAUGGAGUACCCAUCGAGAGAAAGUUCAUAUUUCCACCGAUAUUCGUUGACAGUUAGAGUUAUAUAAACAAUCGAAGUUGGCCACUAACAAUGAUUAAAUGAUCAUUAACUAUAUUAAAUUAUAAAGUUUGGAUAGUCCAAAUCUGUACUCCACAAGUCUCUCAACUUCUUUCGCAGACUUCUUUUAGUCACCAUCAAUAUUUUGUUCCCACGUUUUGGUUGUUUAUAAUUUGCUGCAGACCGAAUCAACCUUAAAAAUGGUCUUUGACAAGUCAAUGCAUAGCUCUUUGUGCCAAAUUAAUGGUCGUAAGCUAAACCAUACAAUACGUAGAAAACUAGUUGAAACCUACCACAAAAACAAACUUGGUUGAGUUUUGUGGUUUUACUCUCUCUUCCACAGCAAUCCUAACUUUAUGAAUAGCCUUUUUCAUUAGGUUAACAGGGUCUUGCAUGAAGGUUGGGUAGAUUGCAUGGUAAGAUGGGAUGAAUUGUGAAUAGAAAAUUUUGGAUUCAAAACCUUCCGCUUAUCAAAAAGAAAAAAAGAGCCUAAAGAGAUGUCGUGUCCAUUUUAACAAAAGCAGAAGGUUUUGGAUCAAGACCAUGCGCAUAUAAUAAAUUCUAAGGGGUAAACAGGAUACCUUAGAAAAUUUUAGGGACUUCUAAGGUAAUUUAACCACUGGCAAAACAUUUGUUAUUUUUUGGCCCGUCAGCCCUUGGAGUUCUUUUUAUUUACUAACAACCAGAGCAAGGAAUUCAGCAAGAAAAAAAAAAUUUCAUUGAAAUUCGGGCAGAACCAUAUAGAGUCCUGAGUAAAUUUGUGACCCAUUAGUUUUCAUUGCGUUAUUCUGACAAUGUACAUGGAUGUUGAGAAACUUGUAAUGAUUUGAGUGGGGGUGGAUCAGACAAGACGUGUUCAAGAUUUUGCAUGAGAUUUAGGACCUUCAAAUAUCCUGAUAAGUACGUAGAAAGUAUUUUGUUAGUCCCUUUGCCUUGAAGUAGGAACAAAAAACACCAAAAAAAAAAACAUUGAAUACGUAAUUAUAUUAAUGAGUAUCCACAAUAUUUAAUCAGUAAAUACUAGACAAACCAUGAGCCCAGUUAAAAAUAAAAAUAAGAUUCUCGACAUUGAAUUAUCAUUCAUGCACACAAAAUAAACAAGAGCAAAAGCACAUCCAAAUACAGGACAUGGCAAAUGGCAGCUGAAUUGGCUGACAGAAAAUUGAGAUAUAACAUGAAGAAUAUGGUGAAUUUCAGUCAAACCUGGAAAAACACACUCUACUUGCUGGAUGGAUGCGUAAAAACCCGAAAACCAUCCUGAUAAAUUCUUGCAGAUAGCUGGUGUUGCCUGAAUUCGUGGCAAUGGAUCUCAAGAUGGCAGGAAGGGAAUUCAUUUGGACUAUAAGGGAAAACGCCAGAAAAAUCUCCAGUUUGACUGACGAAACUAUCUCUUCCGGCCAUGUUUGUAUAUCAGAGAUGAAUUUGAAGAAGCUAUAUAUCUCUUAGGUUUGUUGUUAAUGGUAAUGGGAAUACUAUUUGUAAGGGGAGCAAAUGCCCUCCAGGUCGGAAAUAGAAAGGCCUUUAGCUUUCUUCAAAUUUUCUCUAAUUUCUUUUUGUCUCGACACGAUGAGAAAGUACAUAUUAGUGCUGAGAAACGAUCGAAACAGACAAAACAAGAAAGUUACCCAUGCCCGUAUAUGCAUUGCUAUUUGCUGGAACAAACUCAGAGGCCACAGCACUGAGAACAUUGCGCAAUAGGAAGCUCAACGGAGGAGCAUUUUGCAGAAAACGUUAAUCUGAUACCCAUCAAGCUAGUGAAUAAUGAAUCUAGCCAAUUCUCUUUUUGCUUCUUUCACGAUUUUUUUUUUAUGAUACCUUAUAGUUCAAAAAUGACAAAAACAAGACAAAUAAUAAAGUUAUCAUGUCUUUUAGGCUUGAGAACGUUCUCUUUUAGUACAUGCAUGCAAUUCAUCGGCUCAAUUUAACAAUAUCUUUGCUUGCCAAUUCUUUUCUAAAUUUUGCCGUGGGUUUUCUUUUGGAAUCCCAUUUGCUAUUUCAGGCAUUGUUUUUAUCAAAUCUAUGUAUCUCCUAUAUAUCUUUCUUCAUCAACAGGGUAAAAGAUGUUGUUUCAUGAAAAUUAAUUGAAUUUCUUUAACAUUAUUAGGGCAUGUUUGGCUAAUCCUGAGAGAUAGAAUGAGUAAGUACUCAAUUAAAUAUAUCCAACCUCAGAAUCCAAAAGCUCACUAGAUCAAUAGGAUCAUUCUGUGCGAUCCAUUUUCGCUUGCAUGCAAAACAAAAGUUGGAGCUGAAGAUCAUCAAAAUCUAGUUAUAUAUAAGACUAUAUUAUUUGCUGAAGACAUACUUGAACAAUUUUUCUUUAUGAAAAUAUAUAAAGACAUUGAAGGCAACCAAUUAACUUUCCCUAAUAUCAAGUAGUAUACCUUCAUGGCUCAAGAAAUAGUAUUUAAAAAGUAUUUCUUACCAACAUUAAUGCAUGCUUUGGCAUCAAACAUGAUGAUAAGCAUUCUCAAUAUAUCAUUUGUAUUUCACAAUAAUUUAGGAUAUAUAGCAAACAUUAUGUAUUCAUAUAUCUUACAAACAGCGGUUGCAUAGCAAACUUCAUUUAUAACUUCAAUUAUACAUAUCAAAUACAUCCAUUUCAUUCGUAUUUCACAAUUCAGGAUGUAUAGCAAAUACUAUCGUAUCUUACAAUGGAAAAUGCAUAGCAAACCCGGAUUCUUUCACAACUUCCAUAUACAAAAUAUUGGAGGAUAGCUAUAUAUUAGCAAGCACCAAGCAACGUCAUAACUUGCAAAUUUACAAGGACGGGUAGCAAGUAGCACGUAGCGAGCACUGGCAGCAUCUUCAGUGGUAACAUAUCGAUUUAUCUCCCACUUUUAUUUAGACGUUUUGGGGUUUUUCUUAUACCUCCACACUUUGAUUGCAACAAAGAGUCUACAUAUUAUAGUAGUACUUUACGAUUCAAGAGAGGGUGGCGACUAGAAGGAGUAUGACCAUCUUUUGAUGGAGGGCUGAUUGAGGAAUCAAGAUCAUGCUUUCUUGGGAAAAAAAGCAAUUCAGUUUAAGCGAUAAGAAAGAUAUAUUCCAAGAAGGCUUAAGGCAUAGAUAGACCAGGAUAUUAGCUUAAGCCAAAGGGGGAAAAACAUGGUUGUGGCAAGGAAAAACAAGGUGGCUCCAAAGAAGACCCAGGCAUAUUGUAGCACAAGACCCAGAGCAGGAUUGGAGUUCCUAGAUAUGUAGACGGAUAGAAAGAGAGCGGUGAAGCAUAAUAUUAACAUGAGACAAGCCAAGUGGAAGGCUAUUGGAAUAUGGUUCAGAUUCUGGAUCUUUAUCAUUGGAAUAUUGAUUGCUGCGAAGCAAAAUCCCAAAAUCAAUAGGUGCUGAUCUUGUUGAUUAUUUGGGGCAAAACCUAAACGUGGUGGUGGUGCAGGUACAACGUUAGCAGGAAAUAGUUGCUCAUGCAACUGAGGAGGAAAUACUAUGACUUGAACGUACCUCAGAGACUGCUCUAUCAUUCUUUUGGUUGAUGUAUAUAAACUUGCAACAUAGUUUGCUGCUUUAUCUCCCAUUGUUCAAGUCUAGUAGUCAAGAAUGUCUGAGCAAUUUUAGCUUCAGGUCACCUAUAUAUAUACAUACUGCUUAAACCCUAGGACGGAAACCACCUUAUUACGUUUCUUUAAGAAUUGUCAAAAAGAACUUCAAGAUGGUUAACUAUCAACCAUUAUCAUCUAAACAGUAAAUUUUUACAUUUCUGUGUCCAAACGAAAGGAUUAACGGGGAACUGUUUGUCAUGCAAUAAAAAUUAGAUGCAAAUGAACGCUUAAAAUUUAUCUGCUGUUGACUAUUGAAUUAUUGAUAAUAAUGGAGCACUAUUUAUCUUAUCAGUGGUUUUUUGGAAGGAAAAGUUGCCCAAAUUGUCUGUUAGAUUGUUACAUCUAUGAUUAUCCUUUCUCUAAUUUCUCACAAUUAAAGUGAUGCAUAUGCACAGAAGAUUAUUACUCGAACCAGGAAUAAGUGGAUCAACUUUCCUUGUCAAGCUUCAUAAACGAGUUCAAUCAAUACUGCAAAUAACGUACAGAGAUGGAACAUAAAUCCUAAGGUUUCGUUUGGUUUGGUUCUGUCAGUAACAAGCACUAUAUCUAAUUAUGCAUGGCCAAGAAACGGUAAGGACACAUCAAACUCUUAUCAGUUAUGUUGAUUACAGUUGUUUUCUCUCCCUGUUCUGGGGUUACAUAUAUAACCGUUUGCUAGAAUUCAGUUAAUAAAAUUCAACUCCCAAUGACAUCAAAAUUUUGCUAGCGAACACACAACAAUUAUAUUCAUCUCCUUUUUUUUUUUUGUAAAAUUGAAGAUUUUUCUUUUUUUUUUUUCGAUGCUUAGAAGUAGAUUAUUGUUUAGAACCCUUGCUAAUGAGUCAUAAUGAUAGUUUAACUCUUGUAAUUAUUUAUUUAUUUGUUUGUAAGUACAAUAUCUAUACUAUAUACAAUAGGAGAGCUUCCAUUCGAUGUAAUCAAUUCAUGUCACUUAAUGGUAUAUCAAAAAUAUCCUCUAAAACUACUUUUCAAGCUACUCAAGUUACCUCUUUUUCUCUACCAUGAUCUUAAGUACAUCCACUUAUUGACAUCUCCUCUUUUUUCUCUACCAUGAAUUUAAAUACAAUAACUUCCUAUAAAAUAAAAAAAAAGAAUAGAAUUUAUAGAUUUUUGAGAAAAGCACACAUAUGCUCUAACAUGAUUUUAAAUAUAAUAGUUGAUCAUAAAAAUAUAUAAUUAUAUAUUUUUGAAAUAAGCACAGAUGUAGGAUGUGUCAAAAUCUAGCACUAGUUAUUUAUUAUCACCAUUAGGGCAUAAAAUUACUUUAAGAAGCCAGUAGUUGCCCAUGAUCCCCCACCCCUGCACCAUCUUUUAAAAGGGGAAAAAAAAUGGAAUACUUCUCGCAGCAGGUUAAUAAAACUUAUCAAAAAAAUUUCCAACCUGUGAAUUAAUAGGAUAGUUGUACCUUAGCUGAUGACAUCGAGUGCAUUUAAUCCUAACAUAAAUGCACCAAUAAUCCAACUGGAAUCGCAAACGUUAAUACAUUGGUAGAAUACUAACAGAGCGCAAACAGUGAAGGCGGGAACAUCGUACUCAGUCUCAUACAAAAGAUGCAUUAACGUUAAUGUGUGUCGUACAAAGAUUUCAUAUUUAUUUUUUAAAAAAUUAAAAAAGGGCAGCAAUUUGCCAUUAUCUCAUGAAUGAAUUUUUAGUUUCCAGUGAAGCUAAUAAAUGCAACAACGCAACAAUUAGAUAAUUUUACUUUUGUAUCAACAAGUAAGCAAAAUCCUUUAGUUGAAACCAUAAGUUGUUGCAAGAGAGAUAAGCCAUAAGUAAAAUUAAUUCAUGAAAGAAAGUUAAAUACUAAAAAGGGUAAAAUUAAACUAUUUAUUGACCUAUCUUUUAUCUUCAAUUAGGCAUAUCACUUGGACAAUAGAAAGUAAUUAAUUUUAUACACAUACAGACACACAUAUACAUAUACACAUAUUUAGUUUCAAAGUCGUUUGUGGAGACUAAUAGACUGGCAACUAUUAUGGAAGGUGUGCGUUUGAACAUAUGCGAGAGACAUGAAAUAGUGUGUAUAAGUUGUUUUGUCUGUGAGGUCGAAGAAAGGGUUUUUAUAUGUGUUAAUAGAUAAAAAGUGAAUGCAAUGUUUGCCACAAGAAAAAGAGUGUGUUUAUUUAUGGGUCCGUGGGUAUGUAAGGGUGUGGGUGUAUGUGCAUGUGUGUGUACGAGAAAAAGGGAGGGUGAGAGCUUGUCCGUGUGUAUGUUGGUUUGUUAGGUGAUUAAUUAGGGACAACUUAAAUCUAUAUGGGUCACUUUUGCAUCUGUAUGGUCAGGUGGUGGUUCAGUUAUCGUCAGUUCUCCGUGGUCCUGUUAGGUUAACUUUUUAGUAUAAAUUAGAAUAAGAGCAGGAGUAAGCGUAUAUGGUGACAAUAGACAAAAAAAAAAAAUUAAUUAGAGAGAAAGUAAAAGAUAUGUAUGAGUAAAGGGAAGUGUAUGGUUGUAUGUGACAGAAGAGUUUGUGGAAUAGAGAUAAAUUGAUAGUUGACUACUAUUAAAUUAGCACAAAUUGCAAAAAUUCAGUGAUAAAUUUAGACUUAAAGGUGUUGUAUACAAACUGAAUGAUUAUUUAGUCAGAUUUAAGAAAAGCUGAACAAGAAAAAAAAGCACUUUAAUCAUUAGAUAAACGAUUAUUGGGGUUAUCAAUACCCCAUCUAAGAAAACAACUACUUUUAAACAAGAUGCUAACCAUUUGAAAUAUUAGCAAGAGAUAGUGUUGCAAAUGAACUGAGUUGAACUGGUUUCGGUCUAAUUAAAUUGAACUCAACUUUUGACACACUUGUACUUGAGCUCGAAAUCAAUGAACUUCUAGUAUAAAACUCAAGUUCAAGCUAAUUGAAUUCAGAACUCAAAAAUAAUCGUAUUUGAUAAAAUGGAUAAAAAUAACAUUUCACUCUAGAAAAUGCAAAAACUAAAAUUAACGAGUAAUAAAUGUAUAUUAUGAGCCUGUAGCAUAUGAGUCCAAUAUAUCUAGAUUCGAACUUCGUUCGAAAGCUCACUUCACUUGAGCUAUUUAACCCUCGACUUUGAUCACUGAGCUCGACUUGAGCCUUGACCGAACUGAUUUGCGAGCUUUCCUAAAUCAGUUCCAUCAUUUGCAGCCUUAGGUAAAAAUACGACUAUCGAUAGGUGAAAUAAAAUUAUUCAUGGAGACCCAUCGUGAAGAAGCUAGAAACAGCCGCCACAUGACUCGGGAUAAUUCUAUGCAGUACGCAGUUAUUCAUUACUAAAAAAAGAACUCAGAAGGAAACAAAAAUAGAAAGCAAGAUUUGAAUAGUUUAUAUUUUUUUCCACUAAUGACCAUGACGAGAAGAAUACUUUUUGACAGAACAAUCUGGCAUAUUGCUGGGGAAGAUCUAGCUGAUGAGUCAUGACUCACUAAGCCCGGUAAUUACAUCGCACUUUCGUACAUAAACACAUCCUUUUUUUUAAUUUAUUUGUCUGCCUACUAUAAUUGUUUUUUUUUUUUUUGGGAAAAAGGGUCUCAUAUGGUUCAACUGUCUAAUAGUUUGAAAGUUAAUGGGGUGUUUGGCAUGUGAUAUUUCACUUAAAGUUUGGCCCAAAUAGGAAACAAAGAAAAGGUAAAUACAAAUAGGAAAGAUUAAUCGUAUAUUUAGAAAGUAAAUCCAUUGAGAUGUUAAAAAAAGAGACUUUCAUUAAAACUAUGUAGAUAGUUUCAAAGAAGACAUAAUGCAGUUAUAAAGGUGAUAGAUUUGAUUCCUCCAAAAGCAAAAAAGAAGGUGAUAGAUUAGAGUAAAGUAUAACUUGAUUUCUCACUAAUGAUCAUAGAAGACAGAUGCGCCUCCAAGUCAACAAUACUCUAUUAGAAUAUUUUAUCUUGAACGCCAACAAUACUUUAUUAGAGUAUUUUAUUUUGAAUGCCAAGAUCUUUGCUUGUGGACCCCAUAAGCAUGCAAAGUAAUUAAUUACUAAUUACAUACUAAUUACUUUGCAUUUUCGUUAUAUAAGCUCGAUAAUUACCUCGAAAUUUCGUAAGCUAUAUAAGCUCAGUAAUUACCUCGAAGUUUCAUAAGUUUGCUUAAGUACGUCACUUAACCACUUUUUUUUUAAAUUUAUAGUGCAUGAGAGAGGUCAAAAAUUCAAAAUCUUUCAUUUACACUCCUUUUUUUAUACUAUCCAACCCAUCCCUCCACCAUCAUUUUACCACUUAAAUCACUUAUUAGUUGACUAGUAGUAGGCCAAGCAAGCCACUGCUAUUUCUAAGUGUAUUAUGUCUUCUUAUGUAUCCAUUAGGAAACAUUUGCUGUACCACACAUGGUUAAUAGAUUGAGAGCAAACAGCAGGAGCCUUAGCGACAUUUUUGAAACUCCUUAAUUAGUCCUUGAACUAUUUCUUUACUUAAAAUGGUUAUACAAUUAAAGAAAAUAUGGUAAAUUACUUAGGAAGCCUCUAAACUAAUUCAAUUGUCAGUUUUGGCCAUUUAUUUAUUUGAAGUCUCAAAUUGACCUUUCAAGAAUCAAAACUAUCAAAUUUUGACCGUUGAAUCUAUUUCCAUUAUUAAAAGUUAAAACUGAUGGACAUAAGGGCAAAAUUUGAAAAUUCUACGGUAAAAAUGGAGUGAAGGAUCAAAAUUUCAGACCUUUUAUUGUUAAAGAAUCAAAUUGAGACUUGAAAUAGAGAUCGGGUCAAAAUUGAUGAUUGAAAUAGUCUAGGGACUCCUAAAGUAAUUUACCUAUAAAAAUAUGCAUAACUAACCAUGCAUCUAAUGGAACGGAAAUGUACAUUAUUUCGACACAAAAAUUUUAAAAAAAUAACCACACAUUUCUUUUUGGCAGACAAGAUGUAUGUUUUAGUUGGUGAAUGAUCAUUUAUUCUAAAGGAAAUCACUGAAACAAAGAAUUUUUAAAAUUUUAGUGUCCAGUUAGGUCAUUUGGUCAUGAAUUAAUCAAAGCCAUAAAAAUUCUCAAAAGUAGCACGCACACGAGGACCCAUCGAACAGUACAAAUCCUUAAACGACUUUAGAGCGGGAGUUAAGGGAUUUUAGGUUUACUUAAAUAAACUAGUGGCCUGCUGCUAAAGAGAUGAAAGCUCCACGGACCCACAAACAUAACAAAAACAUCAAUAACAGACAAGCCCUAAUCAAUAUCCGAACGCAAUCAACAUCAGUUGAGAAUUAUUUUUUCAGAUUAAAAACAGUUGAUUUAGUCACUAACAACUCCUUAUCAAGCUUCCUUCUUGCCCUAAUCUUUUUGUUAAUCAUUGAUGGGUCAAUGCAAAGUCUAUAUCCAGCUAUAAGUUGCAGAUUGGAGCAAAGAAUGAUGAUACUAAGCUGCCUUUUUUUUUUUGAGUAUUGAAACAAUGCUAAAGAUCGCAAAGAGAUGACCAUCAACUUUUAUUUUGUAAUGAUAAAGGUAUACAAAUUAAAUUCGGCUAUGUAAUUCGGGCACUGAAAGAUUUAAGAAAGAAUGUCUUUUAAUCUAUCCUGUUGACAGAAGAACUUCAAAAUUUAGCAACACAUCGGAACUUGAAAAACUCGAGAAGACGAACUUGAAGAACUUGAAAGGACUCAUUGCUCAACUGACUCCAAAGGAAAUUGAAGAUUAGCUGCAUCCCCGAGUGUAUAUUCCUUAGGGACUGGACUGCUUUUCUUUUAGGAAUAAGGUGUCUAGUAUGACUUUCAAUUUCUCCCCUUUGCUCUUUUCCUCGUAAUGAGUUUUCUCUGAGUGUGUUUUGUAUAGUAGAUAAUUGGAGAUAAUUUUUUGAAAAAAAAAAAUAUUGUAACAUUUGUUUUAUAUGAUGUAUUUGAGGUGAAACAAUGGUUGAAAAUAUGUAUACUUUGUCCAAAAUUUAAGGAGGUUUAGCGUCUCGGCAAUCAGAGAGGUAAAUGCUGAAUGAAGAUAGCCCCAACUUAAAUUUUAGUUACUUGGUAUUAAAUCGUGUGGAUUACUCCCAAGAAAGGGCGAAAUUCUAUCUUUGUUGGAUCACAAUUAAUAUUUAAGAACAUUUAAUUUUUUUAUUGUUGUUGUUUUUGGUAGAAUCAUUUUAGAAAACAUGCAUUUGUUGGUUGGUAGUCCACCUUGACGAUUUUGGAAGCCCUCAUUCGCUGGAAUAUUUCCGGCUAACAAUGGCCGUCUAAAUCUAAAGUUCCCAACUGUGAGGAUUGAAGGGAUAGAAAAGCUAAUUCUAUUGUUAAAGUCCAUAAAGCAAAAUCAAACAAUCAUAGCACCGCCCAAGUCAAAAGCAUAUCGUGGAUUCUUUGCACUCGCAUGAGGAAUUACUAGUCCAGCUGAUAGUGGAUUUGGGUGUUCUUUUCUUUCUCCUUCUGCCUUUGCCACUUUUGAGAUACUAAUACUAAAAGGGAACUCCUCUUCUCAAAGUCUCGAAGGCUCAAACUUUUGGCUUUUUCCGCUUUUCCACUUUUUCUAAUAAAAUUACCAAGUAGACAACCUAUUGGCUUUUUGUUGCCUCGUCACUCUCAUUUUAAAGUUUAAAAACCUCACGUCCUGAUCACACCAUAUAUUGGCUCAGUGGCCACCAGGGAAGGUGUCCCUUCUUGGGCUGUAGGUUGAGGGUUCAAACCUCACCUGCAGCGAAAAAAAUCUAAAGGUUGUGUCAUAGCACUUCCUUGAUCUAGUUGAGUCUGUAUACCCACUAGCCUCUACCACAACCUCCUUAGACUCCCCCUCCCCCUAGAUUAGGGUAGAAUAGGUUAUCGUUGCUGACAAAAAAAAAAAAAAAAGAUCACACCAUAUGCUAUUUAGCUAGUACUACCAACAUUUUUUGCUCUCAUUAUUAUUUUUACUCCAUACGUCAACAAGGCUCCAAUUAUUAUUAGUCUUAUUGGUUCUCCCUCCCUCAUUUGUGCUCUCUUUCUGCUUUACCUAUAUACAACUAACUUUUCUUUCCAUUCUUUUCUUGACAUUCACCUUCACUAACAAAACACUCUCUUUUCUGCUUUAAGAUGAUUAACUCUUGAUAAUCUCUUUUCCGGAGUAAUAAAUGAAGGUAAAUAGCUAGAGUUUUUUAGAGGAUAUGAACCAACAUACAAUAUGCUGAUCAGGUAGUAUUAGGGUGUGAUUCAAAAUGAACAAAAGAGAUUAAUUACCUUUUACCCCUUAUGUUUUAGCAUUAUCAUAUAAUUUUUCUAUAGUUUCGAAAUCUACAAUUUACCUUCUUUGGCUUAGGGUAAAAUUAGUGGCUUUGUUUGUGUCCCUUGUUUUUAUCCUAUUUUUAAUAAAUAAGUUCUUUUUUUACAACUUUGUCCACAAUAGCCUAAAAUAUUCCAAAAUACCUAAAAACACACAAUUUUUUCUUUCUUUUUUCUCCUCCCCCAUCUUAACCAACCAUUGUUGGUGCCCUCCUUUUUUUUUUUUCCUCUCUCUCUCCUCCCUCUUGCCUCCCUCCCUUCUCCUCCUUUUCCUAUCAUCUUUGUCUUUCCCCUCCUCCCUCUCUCCCUUCUCCUAUUCUCCCUCUUCUUCAACGCCCUCAUCUCCCUCCCCCUUCCCCUCUGAUCAUAAGGUAAGGAGAGGGAAGAAAAGGGGAGGAAGGAGGAAAGAGGAGAGGAGGAGAAGGGAAGGAGCGAGGGAGAGAAAAAAAAAGGAGUGAAGUGGUGACGGCCUGGCACUGGUAGUAGGGAGGGAAGUGGGAGGAAGAGUAGCAUGGCAUGGGAAGGAAGGAGAAGAAAGGAAGAAAAAGGAAAGGCAAAGAAAAAAAUAAAUUUUUUCUUCAAAUCCUCAAAUAUACAAAGUUCUUUUUACAAUUUCUGCAAUAAGUUACCAUAAAAUUUUAUAAAAAUAUCCAAAAAAAAAAAUUUAUCACCUAAACCGACCCAAUGAUGGUAUCUAAAAUUAUAAAGGUGCAAAGGGCAGUAGUAUAAUCACGACGGUUUCUUGGAGGGGCUUUCGGGUAUGUUUUGAGAACUCCAAAUGAUGGUAUCCAAAAUUAUAAUCAGGGAGUAAAGCUCUUGAAAAAGCUAAAGUAAAACGUACUUACCAUUACCAAAUAGGGGAUUGGUAUACAAAAUAAUACCAAAUUCACAAAGUCUCCCAGCUUUCUUUAUCACAUCUACUGUAAAGGUCUUGUAGUAGGAUGUGUUCAUUCAUAACAGGCCCUGACAAGUGUGAUACGCACAAGUCCGACCUCAUUUCUAACUCAGAUGCAGCAUGUGUGGGAAAACAAACAUGAAGAGUCCCAGACGUGGCUCACUGCCUUGAUUAGAAAUAUCACAAAACAAAAAAAGAGUGAUUUGAUGAAAACUUGGUGACUUGUCAUGAAUGGAUCUUCAACAAAUAAAUAUGCUAUGCUUAUCCUACAGGGUACUGAUGAGAUAGUUGUGGAUUCAACUGGGCAUAAACUAAUGUAUAUGCCCAAAACAAAAAUCCAAGAUGGAGUUAGAACCAAUUUUGACAACUAACCCAUUCUUUCCAUCAAUAAGGAUGUUUGUAAUUUUUUUUUUGGGGAGGGGGUAUGGUGAGGGAAAUGUUCUUCUCUUAUUCUGUGAAAAUGUGGAAGUUGAAGGAGACGACAACUGCAAUAGUGAAACUGCAUAAACGAUUCAAGAAAUAAUUUUGAGGCUAAGAUGAAGACAAGGGGUGAUGUCCAAAAAAAAAUCUUGUUGGCCUGCAACAGUGCCCAACAAUUUACCAGGCCUGCGCCCCUAGCUGUCCAUUUUUUAAAUUGUAUUAAUAUUUGAAUUUAGGUAAACGAGGGCUUGUGCGACUCGAUUUAUGCAUUACUCAUAAAAUUUAUGUGCCAGUUUUAUUUGAUUUUCUGAAUCGACAGGUAAGAAGAUAUUACUUAAUCCCUAAUUUGAAUAAUGCGACAGAAAUGAGAUUUCAGUACAUACAUGAUUUUAAUUUGUUAAUUAGAGAGGUCUAAAUUUCAAGUAAACAAGAACGUAGGACGAUUAAAUUACCUCUGUAUAGGUCAACGUAGGACGAUUGCAUAGUUCAACCUGUUGCUAAAAUUACCGCUGUAUAGGUCAACAUACAUGAUUUUUUUUUUUUGGAGUGGGAAUCAUUUUGCCUCAAUUAAACGACAUCACCUAACAACUUGGAUUGUGUCACUUGAUCUUUGAUUAAUAGUCUUCAGCCAAUUCAGACCCCAGACAAGUAUUUAUGGCCUCAAAUAGCGCACGGACAUGUGAACGAGGAAAGAUUCUUUCUUUAAGGUAGAAAGGGGAAGGAUAAAAUAUUUGUCAAAGCAAACCAAAGUGAACCCUUAAUCCAAAGAAAACCCCAAUUUUCUUUAGUAGUUGUUGUUAGGAAAUUGGCUUAAUUUCUUUUAGGUAAAUUUCUUAUUUUGUGUGAAAGUAACUAGUUUUCUAAUUGGUUUUAAUUACUUGAAAUAGUAGCCAAAGAGUAUUCUAUUUAGUUUAGAAUUAGAAGUUAUUUCCUACAAGUGUAGGAAUUAGAAUUGAUUUCCUAUUAUUAUUUAGGUUUUAACCAAAUAAUGUUCUCUAUAAAUAGGUGGGUUGGCAUACUAUACAGGGACAUACAUAGGCACACAAGAGGCAACAUGUAGCCUUAUACAUGGGUGGUGAGAGAGGGUUCUUGGAAGAUGAGAGAUGGUAUACAAGGGUUAGAUUUGGGUUCAAAUUGUAUUCUUGUAUAGGGUUUUCCUCUCAUAAUAAAGAACAGGUUUUUUUUCGUGGACGUAGGCUCAAUGGUGGAGUCGAACCACGUUAAAUAUUGUGUAUCGUCUAUCUUUCAUGCUUGUGGCUUGUUUCUCAUUCAAUUGUUAUGCACUUGAUAUCUCAAUAGUUGUUUGUUCCGCGUUUGGAUCCUAAUAAGUGGUAUCAGAGCUUGGUUGCGAGACUGGGUUGCUCUCAAGUACUUGGAUCCUAACAAAUUGAAUGGUUAGAUCAAGAGCUUGAUUAUUUGUGGUUGGAUCCUAGUUAACUAUUGAGAUCAAGUGGGUUGGUGGCUGUUACCCAUUGAACAAUUUAAUGAGUGGUAUUCUUGUUUCAAUGACUUGGCAAAAAACAUUGAUGGUGAAGGAUGAAAAGUUGAAAAGCAUGGAGAUACUUGACGGUAAAUUUAGACAGGUGAUUCAAGGGUCAAGGAAAAGAUCGAAUCCAAUAUUGAUUUUGGACGUGAAUCGGUGGAGACUUUCUCGCACCUCCAACGGUUGAUAUUUCAUCCCGAUGGAUUUUAGAUUUCGAUUAUUUUUUUUGGGUGGUGUGGCACUUGUCCCAAAGAAACAAAGAAAUUUAAAUUCCAUGCGCCAGAAGAUUCUGAUAGUUACGAGUUUUUCAUUUUAGGUCGAGUUUUAGAAACCACACGUGACGAGACAGUCCUGAGGAUGGGAAGAAAUAUGGUGACUUUACCACUUAGUUGCCUCAAUGGUUAGGGUUAGAGCUCAUAGAAGGGAUCUCGGAUUGCAAGUGGUGGUGAGAAAAAAUCUUGCAAAGGGAGAUGGUGAAUUGAGGCACCUUCUCACGAGUCAACUGGACGUUGGAUUCGAAAUAACUAAACAUAUUCAUUUGCCAAUUGAAUCAAUUUAGUGCCAGGACUGUAUUGAUUCGGGUGUGUAGUUUGGUACCAUAUUAUUUGGUAGUUGAAGGCAAAUGGUUGCUAAAAGAAAUUUUCGCCAAGGGGGAGAUUUGUUAGGAAAUUGGCUUAAUUUCUUUUAGAUAAAUUUCUUAUUUUGUGUGAAAGUAACUAGUUUCCUAAUUGGUUUUAGUUACUUGAAGUAGUAACCAAAGAGUAUUCUAUUUAGUUUAGAAUUAGAAGUUAUUUCCUACAAGUGUAGGAAUUAAAAUUGGUUUCCCAUUAUUAUUUGGAUUUUAGCCAAAUAAUGUUCUCUAUAAAUAGGUGGGUUGACAUACUACACAAGGACAUACAUAGGUACACAAGAAGCGACAUGUAGCCUUAUAAAUGGGUGGUGAGAGAGGAUUUUUGGGAAAUGGGAGACGGUAUACAAGGGUUAGAUUUGGGUUCAAAUUGUAUUCUUGUAUAGGGUUUUUCUCUUAUAAUAAAGAACAGGUUUCUCUCCAUAGACGUGAGCUCAAUGGUGGAGGCGAACCACGUUAAAUAUUGUGUGUUGUCUAUCUUUCAUACUUGUGGCUUGUUCCUCAUUAAAUUAUUAUGCACUUGAUAUCUCAAUAGUUAUUUGUUCCACGUUUGGAUCCUAACAGUUGUUGAUAAUGGCAAUCUUGAAAGCUGUUACUUGUCUGAUUGCCAAAAAAAAAAAAAAAAAAACUUGUGGCGGCAAAGCUGAGAUUAAUUAUCAGAGAUAACCAUUCAUUCUGGACGCUUGAUUUUGAUCAUGCGGUAGGAUAUCAGUUUUAGUGUUUGAGUUUACGGAAAAUGUCAGUAUUGCUCAUCCAUACAACCUAGUUUAAUAAAUAUGAACGAAUUAAUUACCACCCCAGUCCUAGAUUAAAGCCUCUAAAUAUAAUCUUUUAUUGUUCAGUUUCAUAAAUUAAAAAAAAAACAUUGCAAUAUUUGCACUAAUAACAAAAAAGUACAUCAAACAUGACAAAAAAAUCUAAAGAUUUGAAAAUCAAUCUAUACAACAGAUGUGAAAAAUAAUAAAUAUGAUAAUAAUAUUGAAACUUCAAGGGGAGUAUCUUCAUUUAAAUGAAUAACUGCAAUCCAAUGGAGCUGUACAUGUUUUCUAAUCGUGAAAUCUUAUAAGAUCUCCUUUAAUCUGAAAGAGAAAUUUAAUCAGAAUAAACAUGAAAUUCCAGCUCCGAGAAAUUAGAUCUACAAAAUCUCUCAAAUCUUAUUAAAAAAACUACAAAUAAAAACCACUGUAUUUAAAAUAAUAAUCAGAUUUGUUUUAUUAUUUGAACUAUCUUGUGAUGGUAUCGAACAGUAACUAUGCACUAGAGUGGCCGAGAAUGGAAUUUGAUACAGUUUACUUGUGCAGAACUUAUGAUUAUCAGCAGGAAAAAACUAUUAAGAACGGUUAAGCAAUCAAACGAAAUAAUAUUGGUAUUGACUGAAUAAGAGGAUACAGAAUUGGCGGUAAAGGAAAGGAAAUGACAAGAAUGAAGGAAGAAACAGAAAGAAGAAUGGUCAGGGAACAAUCCCAAAUUUAGCUAAUAAAUUCCUACCCUCUCCUCUCUGUUCCUGGCCAAUUUAUAGCUACUAGUAACUAAUUCUUCGGUGUCCUUGGUUCAGCUGGCCCUCGUGACCUUGCUAACAAAAUUGGUUGCAGAUCCACUUGCCCACUUGAGCUCACGUUUCUUGAGCAUUUUCCCAGAAAAGGCGUGAUUACGAACUCACGCCUUCUUUGCUUCCUUUGUUAAUUUCCACGCUUUCCUGCUGAGACCACGCCUUCUUCUCUUGACAAAGGCGUGCUUCUUGCUUCCACGUUUUCAGCUUUAUUUAUCUGUUUCAUAACAAUUGCUCCCCCUUCAAUCAAUCUUGUCCUCAAGAUUGGAAAUCAGGGAAUUCGUUCUCAAUCUUUUCUGCAUCUUCCCAUGUAGCUUCAGCUGGUGUGGUUCCCCACCAUUGAAUGAGCCACUGUACAGCUGCUGCAUUCCCUCUCUUGGUGAUUCUGUGAUCCAGGAUUAGAGCUGUUAAGUCAAUCAAGUAGCUCGAAAGCUCGUUAGAGCUCGGCUCGUUAAGGCUCGAGCUCGGCUCGUUAAUUUUGGUUAACGAGUCGAGCUCGAGCUCGAAACAUGCUCGUUUAGUAAACGAGCCGUUUGAUACUCGAGUAGCUCGUUAGAGCUCGUUAAUGAAGGGCAUAUUUGUCAUUUUAGAAAUCAAAAUUAUAAAAAUUAAAAAUUAUAGAUUUUUAUUAAGGUUAAUUUGCACGAGCUCGAGCUCGAGCUCGUGAAGCUCGACUCGUUUGUGAUAAACGAGUCGAGCUCGAGCUCGAGCUCGAGCCACAUGUACAUUUAACGAGCCGAGUUCGAACACAUUUUAAAGCUCGUUUUCCUAACGAGCUCGAGUCAAGCUCGGCUCGAAUUGAACUCGAGUCGAGCUCGGCAACCAAAUACUCGGCUCGACUCGGCUCGAUUAACAGCUCUAUCCAGGAUAGCUGUUGGCUCUACCCUCAGAUGUCCUUUCCCAUCCAUGUUAGGUAGUUGAAGCAUAGGAGUUGCUCUCUCCCCUACCUUCUUUUUCAGCAAUGAUACAUGGAACAUAGGGUGCACCUUGGUUCCCUCUGGUAGCUGCAGCUUAUAAGCAACUUUUCCUACCAUCUGAGUCACCUGGUAUGGACCAAAGUACCUGGCUGACAGCUUGGUGUGGCUCCUCAACUCUACUGACAUCUGCCUAUAUGGCUGUAACCUCAAGUAAACCCAAUCUCUAACCUCAAAAGUCCUCUCACUCCUGCUUUGGUCAGCAUAAAACUUCAUCCUAUUCUGAGCUUCUUGUAAGUUCUUCUUGAGCAUCCCAUCCAUUAUCUGUCUGUCCUUUAGAUGUUCUUCCACUGUGGCUACUCUGGAUUGGUCAUAAGGCCCCAAGGCUAGUUGUGGGGGAGCCAUUCCAUAUUGGGCCUCGAAUGGACUCAUCUUAAUGGUUGUGUGAUAGGUGGUGUUGUACCACCAUUCAGUAAGGGAGAGCCAAGCAUUCCACCGCUUUGGUUCCAUGUGUGUCAUGCAUCUGAGAUAUAUUUCCAGCACCUGGUUUACCCUCUCAGAUUGGCCAUCAGUUUGAGGAUGAUAAGCAGUGCUCAACUGCAACUCAGUCCCCAACAUGGUAAAGAGUUCUGUCCAGAAAUGGCUAGUAAAUACCUUAUCUCUGUCGAAAAACAUGCUCAGAGGUACUCCAUGGAUUUUGCAGAUAUGGUCCAAGAAAAGCCUAGCCACUGUGGGGGCAUCAAAAGGGUGGGAGACUGAUGAAAUGUGCUGUCUUGGUGAAUCUGUCCACCACCACCAUAAUCGUGUCCUUCUUUUCAGAUACUGGCAGUCCUUCAAUGAAGUCCAUUGUUACAUGGCUCCAUGAGUACUGAGGUAUAGGAAGGGGUUGUAGUAGUCGUGGAUAGGCAUUGUGUUCAUCCUUGCACUUCCUACAUACAUCACACUGCAGUACAGCAUCCUUGAUAUCCUUGUGCAUCCCUGUCCAAUGGAACAACUGUUUGGCCCUUUGGUAGCUUGCCUGUAUUCCAGAGUGCCCUCCUAGCUGUGAGUCAUGUAUGGCAGAAAUGAUUUUCUGCCUGACUUCUCCUCCUGCACCCACUACUAUCUUCCCUUUAUUCCUGAGUAUUCCAUCCUGGUGGGUGAAAUCUGGUUGGCUAUCAGGAGUCAGCAGUAGCCGCCUGAUGAUGUCCUGUGUUUCCCCAUCCCCUUCAUAGCUUCCAACUACCUCCUUAAUCCACUUUGGAAUGACACAAAUCAGAGCAUCGCAAUCUCCUUCCUCUGUGUUGGCUCUCCUAGACAGUGCAUCUGCCACCACAUUUUCUCUUCCUUUUUUGUAUUGAAUCUCAUAACUCAGUCCCAGAAGCUUGGUCAACCAUUUCUGUUGGAGUGUUGUAGUGAUCCUUUGCUCUAGUAGGUACUUGAGGCUCUGAUGAUCAGCUUUUAUUAUGAAGUGAUGUCCCUCCAAAUAAUGCCUCCAUUUAGUUACUGCCAUUACCAAGGCCAGCAACUCUUUUUCAUAGAUGGAGAGUCCUAAGUUUCUUUGACCCAAGCUCUAGCUCAGAUAUGCCAAAGGUCUUCUGUCCUGCAUCAGCACAGCUCCCACACCUCCAUAGCAUGCAUCAGUUUCAACUAUAAAUGGUUUGGUGAAGUUAGGCAGUGCCAACACAAGGGUGUUGGUCAUUGCUAACUUCAGCCUCUGGAAAGCCUCCUCAGCUUCUUCAUUCCAUAGAAAUCCAUCUUUUUUAAGCAGCACAGUGAGUGGCUUAGCUAUGGAGCCAUAGCCCUUCACAAACUUCCUAUAGUAACCUGUCAAACCUAGAAACCCUUUUAGUUGCUUAACUGUAGUUGGCCUUGGCCAUCCCAUCAUCCCUUCUACCUUCUUGGGGUCAGCCAUUACCCCCUGGUCAGAGAUAAUGUGGCCCAAAUACUCCACUUCUGUCUGAGCAAAGGAGCAUUUGCUCCUUUUAGCAUAAAGUUGAUGUUCCUUCAGGAUGUUCAAUGCUGUGGCAACAUGCUUCAUGUGACUAUUUCAGUUAGGGUUGUAAAUUAGGAUGUCAUCGAAGAAUACCAGGACAUACUUCCUGAGUUGUUCCCUGAAGAUGUGAUUCAUGAGGCUCUGGAAGGUGGCUGGGGCAUUGGUCAGCCCAAAUGGCAUGACCUUGAACUCAUACAGCCCCUGGUGAGUUCUGAAUGCAGUUUUGUGUUGAUCCUCCACCUUAACUCGUAUCUGAUGGUAUCCAGAUCUCAAGUCUAUUUUGGUGAAGAAUUUGGAGCCAUGCAAUUCAUCAAUCAGUUCAUCUAUCAGUGGCAUUGGAAAUUUGUCUUUGAUUGUCCGCUCAUUGAGUUGCCUGUAGUCAACACAAAAUCUCCAGCUACCAUCCUUCUUCUUCACUAGUAAGACUGGGGAUGCAAAAGAGCUGUUGCUAGUUUGAAUAAUCCCCAUCUGUAGCAUUUCUUUGACCGGCUUCUCUAUCUCAGCCUUCUGCACAUAAGGACAUCUGUAUGGCCUGUUCUGGAAAAGUGUUGCUCAUUCUUUUAGUGGGAUGACAUGAUCAUGGCUCCUGACUGGAGGCAUGCCUUGUGGCUCAUCAAAUAUUGACUCAAACUGCCCCAGUAGUUCUCUCAUUUCUGUUGGAAUUUGCCCCUGGUCCCCUCCACUUUCUUCUACUAGGUAGAUUUGGGCAGUGAUUCCAUAGUUCUGUUUCCUUCUCCACUUGGCAAGUCUGCUUCCCUUCAUGGCCUUCAACUUCAGCUUCUCUGCCUCCCCCUUCAGCAUUACUGGCACUUUUCCUUUCAAAAACUUCAUAGUUAGCUGCUGGAAGUCAAAUUCGAUGGGGCUGUGCUUGGCCAACCAGUCCACUCCAAGUAUCAGGUCACAACUGCCCAGUUUGAGUGUGUUGAAUUGGUGAUGGAAGUUGUGUCCAUGCAUCUCCCAACCUACCUCCUGUAGGAGUUGCCUGGACCCCAGCUUUUCUUCAUUAGCCACAUUUACAGUUAAGGUUGUACUUGUAGUCUGCAUCUUCAGAUCUUGUGCCAAACUUUCAUCUAUGAAGCAGUGAGUAUUGUCACUACCAAUAAGUGUGAGAACCCGAAAAUUUUCUUAUUUUUAUAGAAUAUUAUUGGAAUAUUUAAAUGAUUAUUCACUCAUUUUCUUCGAAUUAUUUAUUUCGACCAUUUUAAAUCCAUUUAUAUGGAAUGACGCCUCUUUAUAAUUUUAAAGCGUUUUGUUGAAAAAUUCGCUUUUCGAAAAUUUGAUUAGUCCGGAACGACGGGUGCAUGUUUUUCUAGGCUAUACUUGAAUAGGGAGUGUAUUAAUAUUGAAGAAUUAAGAACGAUCAAUAAUAGAUUAAGAAAGGUUAAUGGAGGAAUUAAUACUCAUUUCACGUGAGGACUCGUAAAAUUAUUAUUGUUAAAACCCCUAAUUUUGGCUCAAUUAAUUAUCUAUUUGGAUUUUUGCCCCGAAUAUUAUUUUCUAUCCUUAUUAGACCUAAGUACAUGGUUUUAUAGCUUCGUUAUAUUUUUAAAGUAUCUCGUUUCAAAAAUUAUUUUCUCAGAAACUUGUUUAGUGAAAAAGUGAAAACGUGUCUAAACACUUUAGCCAAUUGGGAGUACACUAAGCUCGAAAAUUUGGGGAUAUGUACAAUGGUCCUAAAAUAGGUAAAUUUAGGUUUAAGUACUCAAGUGAUAGUUAGUGGUACGAUCGUUAUAAGAAUUUCUCGAAGGUUUCAAUUUUUAUUGUGCCUAAAUUAGAAAUACGUGUUUGCACGUGCGCGCUUAAUUGAGGGACUUUGGACCAUUAUUUUGGGACAAUUAAGAAUGAAUAAUAUUAUAUGAAUGUAAGUGCCCUAGAGGUUUAGUGCACUAGUGCAACAAACGUAAGUGAAAUCGAACACAAAACGCGCGCGUAGGGUACUAGUUAUAAUUGAUUUGACGUAUUAAGAGAUUUGACGUCAAGCGUCUUUCGUACGCAAAGGCUUCAAAACCGCAUUUCAUUUCAUUUCUUCUGCUGCAAUGGACGGCUAGCAGCUGCAAGGGACAACCGAAGCUUCACCAUUUCUUUCUUCCAAAACUCAUCCAAAUCCUUACCAAAACUUCCCUAGAUUCUCACCAAACUUCACGUUCAUUUAGCUUUUCACUUGGACAACAACUUAGCUGCAAAAGGAAGGAGCUAUCCACGGUUUCUUCAAGCUUCAAAGGGCCGAAAAAUCUGUCCUAACCAGCCAUCAAAGUAGGUAGUAAUCAAUCACCUUAAACUUGUCUUUUGGAGUUUGAUUUAUGCAUUUGAGCUAGAAUCGUCACUUUAGUAGCUUGUAUUGUUGGAAAAUUGUUAAACGUGGGCUCUAUGAACUCCCACUUUGGGUUGAUGGCUGUGAUGAUGUUUGAUGAUGGUUUUGUUGCUGAAUUAGAGCUUAAGGAAGUAGAUUAAAGGUGCUUUGUUACCAGAAACGUUAUUGAACUCUUGAAACAAAAAGUUCCCAUUUUACCCCUGCUCUGUUCGGUCACUUUAAUGCAGAAAUUUGAGGAUUUAAUGGCUUGAUUAUGUUUUUUACAUGUUGUAGCAGUUGUGUACAAAUUUUCGUUGAAAAAUACUGAGUUUUGGUGGGUCAAACGAAUUUAUUUCAAAGCUAGUAAUCUGGGAAAACGGUUGCCGUCGUAACCAGACCAGUGUUCGUGUUUCGUCCAUAACUCCGUACUCCGACGUCGAAAUCAAGUGCCGUUAGCGGCAUUUGAAUCUAGACGUUCCCAUGUUUCCAACGGUGUAUAAUUCACCUUCUGGUUUUAUGUGUGUGAGCCACACCAUUCAUCUGAAGUCAGCUGUCCUGUUUCUCCGUUCUGCCGAAAUGAUUUGUUGAUGCUGCAACUUUAGGCUUAAAUUCGAGCCAGUUGCAUGCUGAAACUUCUAACGAUUUCUUCUGUGAAAUUUUAUCCCUGUGAAUGUAUUUUCUAACACUAUCAACCAUUCCCAAUUCCGAGUUAAAUUGAGGGAGUUAUGAUCAAAAUACGGCGACUGCCUCGUUUUUGAAACCUUAGAUUUGGACAGAUUGCCUUAAGGAUUUUUCCAAAUUUGGUUGAUUGAAUGACCACCCUUCCGAGGGUAUUUUUCCAUGAAAUUUUAUAGGGAGAUACCCUUCAUAUGGGAGUAUUAUACUGCAAAAUUUGGUGUCAAUCCAAGUCCGUUUCGGCACUUAAUAAAAGGUCCAAAGUCGGAACCAAAUCUGGAAAUUUUGUAACAGUCUUGAAUUUUCCCAACUUUGAACUACCGUAUCUCGGUACUCGAAACUCUGAUUCUUGAGCCGCUUGUUCUGUUCAAAACUUUACUUGCACUUCUAAUCGAGUUAUAAGUUUCAAGGGCCGGUUUGCAACGAGUGAUUUUUGCCGAAUUUCCAAAGUUAGCGAAAAACCAACCCCGGCUCAAUCCUGGUAAUCUAGAACAGCAACUUUAGGCUCAUUUUUGAAUACCUUCCACUUAGAUUCAUGGAAUGGUGUCUUCUAAGGACUUUUAGUACUUUGGAAGACGAUUCCAACGGUACCAAAUUCAUCAAGUUUCGAUUAGUAGAAAGCAAGUUAUGAUUUUUCAAAGAUUUGACCAAAAAUUGAAAAUUCUGGAAUUUCAAAGGAAAUCCGCGAAGGAACAAUUUUACCAGAAUCCGGCCUUGAAUCCGGCCAGUUUCUGGCCGGAUUGGUGGCGAAGUUUGAAAAAAAAAGGAGGUUAGCCACUGCCUCCAAUCCAGCCAGAAAUCCGGCCGGAUAUCCGGCCAGGUUCCGGCCGGAUUGUGGCGUGGCCAGCCCUCUUUCGAUUUCGAUCGUUCGAUUUGCAAUCGUUUUGCUCGUACUCGUUUCCAACCAAUGAUUUUAAGGAUAAUAAUCCGAUUUUUACUCGAGUCCUGCACCCUUUUGAGAAUCCAACUUCAAAGACAAGUCAAACGAAGUUUUCAAAUAUUUUCGAACCUUACCCGUGUCCAAUCUUUCUCACCACUUGGGGACCUAUAGUAAUUAUCUACUAUUCGAUGUUCAGGCACGCACGAGGACCUCCAAGAGGACCCUACCGUGGAAGUUUGAACUCUCCCUCCAACCUACUUUCUUGCAUAACUGGUGAGUGUCAAGUGUAUGCCUACUUGAACUCUAAAGUCUUGAUUCAUGCUUGACUUACCUGAUUACAUGCUUAGUCUAUUUGAUUUUGAAAAAAAUGGAGUCGAGUGUGUACUUAAUCGCACUCGUUCUCAUUUGGCACGAAUGACUCAUGUCUAACAUGAUUUGCCUGGUUUACAUGACUUGAAAUGCCUGCUUAAACAUGUCAAAUGCUUGAAUACAUGAAAUGGUAUGCUAUGAUUGCAUACGUCGUUGGAGUGAAUCUCCUCGACACUUACAUGAUACAUGGGGGACGCCCAAACUCAUAGGCCGACCUUGGAACUCGAGCCGGCAUGGGCUUGGUCGGGAACCUUGGUGAGCCAUGAGAAUUACAUGAUAAGCUUGAUCUAUUUGAGAGAUCUUGCUUGGCAUACUCGUGGAGUAUAGCCUUCUAAAUGUCGUGCGGGCCCGAAGCGGUGUAUGGUGGACGGAUGAGAAGUAAGUGGUGAACUACGGAUAUGAAAUAUCAACCCGGUUGACGGAGAGUCAACGCGGGGAGAUAUACGAAUGACAUCGGCAAAAAUGUGAAACUUAGCUCCUGAGAGCUACCAUAUCCUUGAAUUGUUUUGGUUACAUUUUGUUGGCAUUAUUAAUUACUUGCAAUUUAUUACUUGAAUUGUUACUUGGCUUGUUACCUGAGCUAUGUGCCUGCAUGUGUGUUCUUGGCCUCACGAGCGUUUUGCUCACCCUGUAGAUUUGUUUUCCUUAACAGGAUUGAACUUGGCGAGGUAUCGAAGGAACCUUCCUGCUACGCUUUUGUUUAGGGUUUCUAUUACUUUUGACUUUGUCUUGGCUUUGGGUUGUAUUUUGGAAUCCGAAUGUAACUUUUGGAGCAUGAUGUAUAUUUGGGAUAUAUGAUGGUUGUUGAACACCUGAUGUGCGGGUUGGAUAUUGAAUGACUAUUAUUAAGUUUGAACGCUUCUGCAUUUAUUGUAUCUAAGUUAUUGGCUUGUAUUGUGUGGUCCGGCUAUAAGUUGAAUGGAAUUGCUUGAGUCCUGGCGAGAGAUAGGCAUGCGUUCCGCGGAUACCCUUUGGUUCGCCUUAGGGAGAAGUGGGGGCGUCACAGUUGGUAUCAGAGCAUAGGCUUUAGAUCUUGUAGUGUAUCCUAGGCUUAAAGUUUAGGAUGCCUGACUGUGGGAUUAAUUUGAAUAUUAUGUGAACUAGAGGGUCUAUUGUAUCCUACGGGUUAAAGAAAUUGGUUACUUGAGAGUUUCUUACUUGGGACUUGUAGAAAUAAAAAUUGAGGAAUUAGCUGAUGUUAUAUUGAAGGAAAAUAUGGAAUGAGAGAUUAGUAGUGAAAGAUUGGACGAAUUUGAAUUAUUAUUAUACUUGUAAGUGUGGAAAGAAGUGAGACAAUUAUUAGUGCUGGCUAAAGCGGAUAAGAGACCGAGAUUUGAUGGUCAAACUCCAUGUAUCGUGAUUGUGAACCCAGAUGAAAGAGUUUCAAAGGAAAAAAAAUGCAUUUUCCUGCUCAUUUACCUCUUAGAGAAUUUAUGCUUUGAAAUUCUAAAGGAAAAAUGAGGAUGUGCUAGUUUUAUUUUCAAACGAUGAUUGGAAAUAAUAUAUAUAUGCUUUAAGUAUGUGUAAUUCUUCGAUUUUGGUAAAUAUGUGAAUUUUACUUGAAUUUCAAUUUAAAAAUUUAUGAAUAACUGAUGAGUUUGUUGAAAUUUUGUAUGUGAAGGGCUGAUACAAGGUUAACAUUUUCUAAACUAGAUUUUCCCCCUUGAUUGUAUACUGGUGUAUUCUCACACUUGAAUUCAUCUAUGCUUUACAAAAAAAAAAAAUAAUAAUAAUAAUAAUAAAAAUAUCUUGAAUUUUCGGAAGAACGGCGAACUUAUGUUUUUAUAAUGAAAAUCUUGAACUUGAUAAGAUUUUUGUUACUUUAAAUACUCUUCUUAUCUUUUAAAAUUCUUGGUCUUCAAGAAGGGUGAGCCUAUCUUUAGGUGUACGGAUUGAGGGAACUUUGAGAUAUAGAGUAACCGCAUUCAAGAACACGCAGUUAGUGUGAAUUGACUUGGUUUCCAUUUGACACGUAAGUUAGCAAGUUGUACUUAUUUCUUGGGUUUGAACUUGGAGUUUGAGGUUUUACCAAUAAAACCCUAAGACUAGUUAUUCUUGGAGAUGAUGGUGCUCUGGUUGGUGGCUUGCUUAUUAAAGAUUUUGAACUUCGAAUGGAUAACCUUUGGUUUCCGCUUGUGUUAUGGUUUGAUUGGAUCUAAUUUCGUAAAGGCAUGUGAUCUGAUUGGAAUUAGUCAUAUUCGGACUCAUUGGUUUAAUUAAGGACUUAGGAAGGGUGGUGCACGCUGUGAGACCUUUUGUAUCCCACUUGCAUAUACUUCUACAUUUUGUGACCCUUAGUUGCCUAUAUACAGUAUUUGACAUAUUGGACUUGUUUUGUGACUUCUUAACUCGUACUAUAACCUUCGAUACAUGUAAAGAAUCAUGUCUUGAUUCUAAAUAUUUUUGCAACUUGUAUAUGCAUUAAGUUCUUUUAUGAUUAAUUAUUCCUUUUCUUGCGCUUAUAGACUCCUAUUAAGUAUGGUAGCAGGAAUAGGAAAAAGGGGUCGUGGCCGAGGACUUAGACAACCCUGUACUCGUGAGAAAAAUUGAUGGAUAGUCUUAUAUAAUUUAAUGAGAUUCUAGUACUGAAUAUGAAUCGAGAAAAAAACCAGAAGAUUAGAUCUACCAGUGUAUAAUGGAUUAACCUAGUUGGGAACUUAGUGAGAUUUUCCUGUGUGAAAUUUUAAUAACUGCUUUAUACGUAUAUUAUGAUUGGUCCUGUGGCCAUAUUUCAACUUUUGUGAAAGUUUGAACUCCAAAAGUAUUUCGUGGGUUUGGUGAGAUGACCUGAACUCAUUACCAAUUUGUUCUACUUGAACAAAAGCGCUUUCAAUUUUACUUGACUAAUACUAUACCCAGAUUCACUUGUUUUACUUUUCACAAAAUUUAUAUAUAUAUAUAUAUAUGUAUGUAUACACAUUUUGAACUCGUUUGAGACUCGAAAUCAGAUAGAGUUCAAGUUCGAAUCUUUCUUAGGAACAUGAAUGCCUAUUUGUUAUGAAUCAGAUAUUAGAAAUGAUCGGGUUUUAUGUACCAGUAGAGUUAACUCUUGGUUGGAUAAAAGGGUGGUAAAGGUAUUGGAUCACAGGUUAUGCGAAUAUGAACCUACAUGUUUACCUAUCUUUCUUAAAGGUAUUUUCUAAAAUAUACGCCUUACUCGAACAUAGAUUUAACUCGAAACUUUGAGGAAAAGUGUUGGAACACCCUCCAUGUAUAUGUUAUGAUUAUUAUGUAUAUGUUUUAAAAAUCAUGCAUUAAGUUGCAUGAUUAAUAUUCUUAAAUCUAUUUGAGAGAUUUUAAAUAUGUAUUGAUGAUUGUGGUUAAACAUUAUUUGAAAUCUCUUACUAAGAAAAUUUAGUUUUGGGUCGUGAAGAAAAAUUUGUAUCUUUAACUCUAAUUUUGAAAAUUUUGAAUCGCAUUUUGCCACAGAUACAUUCAAAAUACAUCAAAAGUCUUGACCUUAUCUUGUAAGUCAUGAUUGGUUUGAUUUAGACAAAAUUUUGAGGAAAGGGAUUUUGGUCCUGCUAGUGCGUAACAGUUUUUUUGUUAGGAUUUGGAACUUGUUUCAUAUGGCGUGUAAUUUAUGGUUUCACUACACACGGGAGUAAGACCUUAGAAUGGAAGUACAUAUCAUUAUAUCAAGAGGUAUUACUUUAGUCGUGUGUGUGGAUUUUCUUAAGUAUCAUUCGAGGAGAGGGAAGAGUAAAUAUACCUGGAUGACUUAGAUGCGUGAGAAUUUACAGGUUGUGGAUAGUUGAGUUUCAAAUUCUGAUUUGCUACUUAUUUAGAUGCUUGAGCAGUUGAUAGGCUAACAGUCAGGAUUAAGAAAAUGGAUGAAUGAAAAGUUUGGAAGAGAUACGUAUAGAAAUAGAAGUUCUUCACAAGGAGUUGGAAUUUCAAACUAAAUUGGCUGAAUUCUGAGAAGAAAAAAAAAGGGGUCGAGAACUUAGGGUUGAAGAUGGGAUCCAAUGUUGAUCGCCAACUUGAGAUAUUAAAAGUUGUGAGAUUUGGGUGAGUGAAAGGAAAUAUUUGAUGGCUUGAAUGAGCCUAACGAUUAAGGACCGGAUGUUAUAUUUGGAAUGGACGCUUGAGGCUAUAUAUACAUAGAUUAUUGAGAUUUGAGCGAUGAGACUAUUAAGAACAAAUACUCCAUAGCCUCACAUAAACGAGAAUUAUAAUCAAGGGUCAAGAGCAGCGAAUAAAGGAUUUAAAGUAGAGUUACUACUAACCGGGAAUCCUAGAAACUAAUGUGCUUAACCACUUCCAAUUCAAGAUGGGGAUGCUUGAAUUUUCAGUUAUGCCAAUUGGGUUAACUAAUGUAUUAGCAGCAAUUAUUACAUUAAUGCAUCAAGGUUUUAAAUCGUAAUAGGAUUAAUCUGUGAUGGCAUUUAUUGAUGAUGUAUUAAUAUACCCUAAAGUUUGAGAAGAUCAUGAAAAAAUACUUGAUGGUAGUUUUACAAACCCCGAGAGAACGCUAACUUUUGUUAAGUCCAAUAAAUGUGAGUUCGAUUGGAAGAAAUAGCAUUUCUAAGUUAUAUAAUAUCUAAGGAAGAAAUUGUUGUUAACUCAGCUUAAGUGGAAGCUGUUCAAGAGGAAAUGACUAGAAAAUCCUACCGAAAUUUGGAGUUCUUAGAGGUAGUCGAAUAUUACCUUGGUUUGAUCAGGGACUUCUAAGGAUACGAGACUUGGCAAGUUAUUUGAGAUUUUAAAUGUGAGGAAGAAUUUGAAGGUGAAAAUCGUUUAACCAAUGCACUUGUGUUGGCUUUACCGAGCGGAUAAGGUGAUUUUGUGAUUUAUACAGAUGGUUCAAAGGAUGGUUUAGAAUGUAUAUUAAUAAAAUAUGAUGAGGUGAUUGUAUAUGCCUUCUGAAAGUUAAAAUCUUCCGGAAGAAAGUAAUCAACUCAUGAUUUGGAGUGAGUUGGAAAACGUAAGUCAAUGAUUGAUCUGAUAGGCUUAACCAUGAAGGGAAUGAUAUUGUUCUAAGUAUGAAUUUCGAGGACGAAAUUCCUUUCAAGGAGGGGAGGAUGUGAGAACCCGAAAAUUUUCUUAUUUUUAUAGAAUAUUAUUGGAAUAUUUAAAUGAUUAUUCACUCAUUUUCUUCGAAUUAUUUAUUUCGACCAUUUUAAAUCCAUUUAUAUGGAAUGACGCCUCUUUAUAAUUUUAAAGCGUUUUGUUGAAAAAUUCGCUUUUCGAAAAUUUGAUUAGUCCGGAACGACGGGUGCAUGUUUUUCUAGGCUAUACUUGAAUAGGGAGUGUAUUAAUAUUGAAGAAUUAAGAACGAUCAAUAAUAGAUUAAGAAAGGUUAAUGGAGGAAUUAAUACUCAAUUCACGUGAGGACUCGUAAAAUUAUUAUUGUUAAAACCCCUAAUUUUGGCUCAAUUAAUUAUCUAUUUGGAUUUUUGCCCCGAAUAUUAUUUUCUAUCCUUAUUAGACCUAAGUACAUGGUUUUAUAGCUUCGUUAUAUUUUUAAAGUAUCUCGUUUCAAAAAUUAUUUUCUCAGAAACUUGUUUAGUGAAAAAGUGAAAACGUGUCUAAACACUUUAGCCAAUUGGGAGUACACUAAGCUCGAAAAUUUGGGGAUAUGUACAAUGGUCCUAAAAUAGGUAAAUUUAGGUUUAAGUACUCAAGUGAUAGUUAGUGGUACGAUCGUUAUAAGAAUUUCUCGAAGGUUUCAAUUUUUAUUGUGCCUAAAUUAGAAAUACGUGUUUGCACGUGCGCGCUUAAUUGAGGGACUUUGGACCAUUAUUUUGGGACAAUUAAGAAUGAAUAAUAUUAUAUGAAUGUAAGUGCCCUAGAGGUUUAGUGCACUAGUGCAACAAACGUAAGUGAAAUCGAACACAAAACGCGCGCGUAGGGUACUAGUUAUAAUUGAUUUGACGUAUUAAGAGAUUUGACGUCAAGCGUCUUUCGUACGCAAAGGCUUCAAAACCGCAUUUCAUUUCAUUUCUUCUGCUGCAAUGGACGGCUAGCAGCUGCAAGGGACAACCGAAGCUUCACCAUUUCUUUCUUCCAAAACUCAUCCAAAUCCUUACCAAAACUUCCCUAGAUUCUCACCAAACUUCACGUUCAUUUAGCUUUUCACUUGGACAACAACUUAGCUGCAAAAGGAAGGAGCUAUCCACGGUUUCUUCAAGCUUCAAAGGGCCGAAAAAUCUGUCCUAACCAGCCAUCAAAGUAGGUAGUAAUCAAUCACCUUAAACUUGUCUUUUGGAGUUUGAUUUAUGCAUUUGAGCUAGAAUCGUCACUUUAGUAGCUUGUAUUGUUGGAAAAUUGUUAAACGUGGGCUCUAUGAACUCCCACUUUGGGUUGAUGGCUGUGAUGAUGUUUGAUGAUGGUUUUGUUGCUGAAUUAGAGCUUAAGGAAGUAGAUUAAAGGUGCUUUGUUACCAGAAACGUUAUUGAACUCUUGAAACAAAAAGUUCCCAUUUUACCCCUGCUCUGUUCGGUCACUUUAAUGCAGAAAUUUGAGGAUUUAAUGGCUUGAUUAUGUUUUUUACAUGUUGUAGCAGUUGUGUACAAAUUUUCGUUGAAAAAUACUGAGUUUUGGUGGGUCAAACGAAUUUAUUUCAAAGCUAGUAAUCUGGGAAAACGGUUGCCGUCGUAACCAGACCAGUGUUCGUGUUUCGUCCAUAACUCCGUACUCCGACGUCGAAAUCAAGUGCCGUUAGCGGCAUUUGAAUCUAGACGUUCCCAUGUUUCCAACGGUGUAUAAUUCACCUUCUGGUUUUAUGUGUGUGAGCCACACCAUUCAUCUGAAGUCAGCUGUCCUGUUUCUCCGUUCUGCCGAAAUGAUUUGUUGAUGCUGCAACUUUAGGCUUAAAUUCGAGCCAGUUGCAUGCUGAAACUUCUAACGAUUUCUUCUGUGAAAUUUUAUCCCUGUGAAUGUAUUUUCUAACACUAUCAACCAUUCCCAAUUCCGAGUUAAAUUGAGGGAGUUAUGAUCAAAAUACGGCGACUGCCUCGUUUUUGAAACCUUAGAUUUGGACAGAUUGCCUUAAGGAUUUUUCCAAAUUUGGUUGAUUGAAUGACCACCCUUCCGAGGGUAUUUUUCCAUGAAAUUUUAUAGGGAGAUACCCUUCAUAUGGGAGUAUUAUACUGCAAAAUUUGGUGUCAAUCCAAGUCCGUUUCGGCACUUAAUAAAAGGUCCAAAGUCGGAACCAAAUCUGGAAAUUUUGUAACAGUCUUGAAUUUUCCCAACUUUGAACUACCGUAUCUCGGUACUCGAAACUCUGAUUCUUGAGCCGCUUGUUCUGUUCAAAACUUUACUUGCACUUCUAAUCGAGUUAUAAGUUUCAAGGGCCGGUUUGCAACGAGUGAUUUUUGCCGAAUUUCCAAAGUUAGCGAAAAACCAACCCCGGCUCAAUCCUGGUAAUCUAGAACAGCAACUUUAGGCUCAUUUUUGAAUACCUUCCACUUAGAUUCAUGGAAUGGUGUCUUCUAAGGACUUUUAGUACUUUGGAAGACGAUUCCAACGGUACCAAAUUCAUCAAGUUUCGAUUAGUAGAAAGCAAGUUAUGAUUUUUCAAAGAUUUGACCAAAAAUUGAAAAUUCUGGAAUUUCAAAGGAAAUCCGCGAAGGAACAAUUUUACCAGAAUCCGGCCUUGAAUCCGGCCAGUUUCUGGCCGGAUUGGUGGCGAAGUUUGAAAAAAAAAGGAGGUUAGCCACUGCCUCCAAUCCGGCCAGGUUCCGGCCGGAUUGUGGCGUGGCCAGCCCUCUUUCGAUUUCGAUCGUUCGAUUUGCAAUCGUUUUGCUCGUACUCGUUUCCAACCAAUGAUUUUAAGGAUAAUAAUCCGAUUUUUACUCGAGUCCUGCACCCUUUUGAGAAUCCAACUUCAAAGACAAGUCAAACGAAGUUUUCAAAUAUUUCCGAACCUUACCCGUGUCCAAUCUUUCUCACCACUUGGGGACCUAUAGUAAUUAUCUACUAUUCGAUGUUCAGGCACGCACGAGGACCUCCAAGAGGACCCUACCGUGGAAGUUUGAACUCUCCCUCCAACCUACUUGCUUGCAUAACUGGUGAGUGUCAAGUGUAUGCCUAUUUGAACUCUAAAGUCUUGAUUCAUGCUUGACUUACCUGAUUACAUGCUUAGUCUAUUUGAUUUUGAAAAAAUGGAGUCGAGUGUGUACUUAAUCGCACUCGUUCUCAUUUGGCACGAAUGACUCAUGUCUAACAUGAUUUGCCUGGUUUACAUGACUUGAAAUGCCUGCUUAAACAUGUCAAAUGUUUGAAUACAUGAAAUGGUAUGCUAUGAUUGCAUACGUCGUUGGAGUGAAUCUCCUCGACACUUACAUGAUACAUGGGGGACGCCCAAACUCAUAGGCCGACCUUGGAACUCGAGCCGGCAUGGGCUUGGUCGGGAACCUUGGUGAGCCAUGAGAAUUACAUGAUAAGCUUGAUCUAUUUGAGAGAUCUUGCUUGGCAUACUCGUGGAGUAUAGCCUUCUAAAUGUCUUGCGGGCCCGAAGCGGUGUAUGGUGGACGGAUGAGAAGUAAGUGGUGAACUACGGAUAUGAAAUAUCAACCCGGUUGACGGAGAGUCAACGCGGGGAGAUAUACGAAUGACAUCGGCAAAAAUGUGGAACUUAGCUCCUGAGAGCUACCAUAUCCUUGAAUUGUUUUGGUUACAUUUUGUUGGCAUUAUUAAUUACUUGCAAUUUUUUACUUGAAUUGUUACUUGGCUUGUUACCUGAGCUAUGUGCCUGCAUGUGUGUUCUUGGCCUCACGAGCGUUUUGCUCACCCUGUAGAUUUGUUUUCCUUAACAGGAUUGAACUUGGCGAGGUAUCGAAGGAACCUUCCUGCUACGCUUUUGUUUAGGGUUUCUAUUACUUUUGACUUUGUCUUGGCUUUUGGGUUGUAUUUUGGAAUCCGAAUGUAACUUUUGGAGCAUGAUGUAUAUUUGGGAUAUAUGAUGGUUGUUGAACACCUGAUGUGCGGGUUGGAUAUUGAAUGACUAUUAUUAAGUUUGAACGCUUCCGCAUUUAUUGUAUCUAAGUUAUUGGUUUGUAUUGUGUGGUCCGGCUAUAAGUUGAAUGGAAUUGCUUGAGUCCUGGCGAGAGCUAGGCAGGCGUUCCGCGGAUACCCUUUGGUUCGCCUUAGGGAGAAGUGGGGGCGUCACAAUAAGUAUCAGCAGCUCCCUUCCUGCAAGUCUCCCUCUCAUUUUGAUGGUUUUGUGUUCAUUCCCCCCUGCUAAAGCAUGAAUGGAGACCUCUAUGUUCUCCUUGCAGAUACCUCUUUCUGAACAGUCACUAUACUCUUCAGCACUCUCCCCUUGUCCCUCCAAUGGAAUGUCAGGUUCAGUAGGCUUAUCUAUCACUAUGUAAUGAACAUGAGCUUGUUUGCAGGUAUGUCCUAAGGUAUAUGGUUCAGCACACUUGAAACACAACCCCUUCUCCCUUCUAUAACUAAAUUCAGAGGGAGUGAUUCCCUUGUAGUGACUGGUUGAUGGUCCCCCUAGUUUGGUACUCUUGUUGGUAUGGUGGUCUGGUUUUUGGUUGUUAGGCCAUUUCAUUUUGUUGGAGAAAUUAGUGGUAUGUGACAAUGGUGGCAAGGAAGGUUUCUAUAUGCCCCUACCCUGUGCUUUUUUAAUGGCUUCUAGAUUUUUCUCCUGUAGUUUAGCAAUUUCAAUGGCAUCUGCUAAUGUAAGUGGUUUGGUCAUCCUGACCAUGUUGACAACUUCAUCCUUAAGACCACUAAGGAAACAGGAUUUAUAAUAGGAAUCAGGUUGUCCAGGGAGUGAGAUCAUCACCAGUGAUUUCAGCAUCUCAAAUUUUUCCAGGUAGUCUGCUACACUGCCAGUUUGUACCAAUUUAUUGAACUCCUCAAUGGCCUCCUGUGGAACUCCCUCUCCAAACCUCUCACAGAUUGGUAAGGACAGCUCCCUCCAUGGAACUGCUCCCCUUUCAGAGUACAUUCCAUGAAACCAGAUGUCUGCUCUAUCCUUGAGAUAGAGCUGGGCAAUAUCAAUUUUCAUUUCUUCCUCUACUCCAUAUAUCUGGAAGUACUUGUUAGCUCUCCUCACCCACUCCCUAGGAUUGGUCCCAUUAAACAGAGGAAAACCCAUCCUAGGCAGUUUGGAUCCUCCCUUCCCCUCACCUUUUCCCUUAACUCCCUCUACAAUCUGGCCAUUUCCUGGGUGGCUGUCCCCUACCUCCUUUCCCUUAUCAUUCAAUUUGGACAUAAUUUGGGCCAUCAUGUUCAUCAUACCCUCAUAUUUUUGGUCUAAAUUUUUGAUAGCUCUAUCUGUGCUCUCCUGCCUAUGCUCUAUUGCCCUCACAGUCUGUUCUACCCCAUCAUGUUUAUUAGCAAAAGUCCUCACCACACUCCCCAACUCAGUGAGCUCCCUUCUUAGUGCUUCCUCAUGAGUUUUAGACAUCCCGUUGGCUCGUAGCUCUGCUCUGAUACCACUGUGAUGGUAUCGAAUAGUAACUAGGCAAUAGAGUGGCCGAGAAUGGAAUUUGAUACAGUUUACUUGCGCAGAACUUAUGAUUAUCAGCAAGAAAAAACUAUUAAGAACGGUUAAGCAAUCAAACGAAAUAAUAUUGGUAUUGACUGAAUAAGAGGAUACAGAAUUGGCGGUAAAGGAAAGGAAAUGACAAGAAUGAAGGAAGAAACAGAAAGAAGAAUGCUCAGGGAACAAUCCCAAAUUUAGCUAAUAAAUUCCUACCCUCUCCUCUCUGUUCCUGGCCAAUUUAUAGCUACUAGUAACUAAUUCUUUGGUGUCCUUGGUUCAGCUAGCCCUCGUGACCUUGCUAACAGAAUUGGUUGCAGAUCCACUUGCCCACUUGAGCUCACGUUUCUUGAGCAUUUUCCCAGAAAAGGCGUGAUUACGAACUCACGCCUUCUUUGCUUCCUUUGUUAAUUUCUACGCUUUCCUGCUGAGACCACGCCUUCUUCUCUUGACAAAGACGUGCUUCUUGCUUCCACGUUUUCAGCUUUAUUUAUCUGUUUCAUGACAUAUCUUCAAUUUUUCUUUUUAAUUCUUAGCAGCAGCAUGAACCAACUCCCGUGGAGUUUGGACCCUCUAUGGAUCAUCUUUUUAUAUUGCCAAUAAUCCGCCAACACUUAUUUAUGUAUCUCUAUAUUUAUGCAUGUGGAACUCGUCUAGUGGUAGCUGCAGCAAAGACGACGAUGAUCAGCAAACAAAGGCCAAAAACGGACCAAGACAUGAGCUUGAAAGAGAGUGGGAAAGGAACAGUUAGAGCAAAUAAGAAGGCUAUGAAAAUUGAUAGCUUUGCCACCAACAUCGAAGCAUGUCUAAAGUUUGGGAAAGUGAAGGAGAUGAAGUUGGGAAAGGUACAGUUAGAGCAAAUAAGAAGGCUGUGAAAAUUGAUAGCUUUGCCACCAACAUCAAAGCAUGUCUAAAGUUUGGGAAAGUGAAGGAGAUGAAGUUGGACAUAAAAACAGAGGCGAAGGCAAAGAGCAUAGCAAGAGAGAGCAAGUGCAUGAGGAGUGGGAGUUUGAUUUGGGGUUGAAGGGAUUGAAGAGCUAUCUCCACUGCUGAAGUCAAGCAAAAUGCAACGAUUACAGCUGCCCAAUCAAAAUGAUAUGCUGCAUAAUUAACUUGAUGAACAUCACUGGAAACUGUUUGUGGAUCAAUCCUUUGCUCCUCAAGUUGAUGAGCAGCCUCGAGGUCAAGAGCAGAAGAAGAAGGUGGGAUAUCCGGGGUGGCCAUUGUUGACGUGGGUGAGGUUGAAAAGAGCAGGGUCAAAUUCCCUAAUACCGUGCAUAAUGAAUGAAAGGACAUGCGGAUGGCUGCUCUUUUGUGAGCGCAAUAGGCCAAUAUUUUCCUAUUACGAGUUCCUAUCCUGGUCCCGGCCUCCAUUUGAUUUCUACUUUGAGCAAUGGCUUGAAGAUUGGAUUCCGAAGAAUGUUCAAAUUUGCAAAUUAAGCAUGGUUGAGAAGGCCAGAAGGCAUGAGGUGAAGAGUGAUAAGCACGUAGUACUACGUACUAUAUAUAUAGUAGUUAAUUUUUUUUUCGAAACGAUAUUAGUAAUAUAUUGAUCAUCAACUGAAUUUUAUACUUGGAGCAAAGGCCCCUCAUUUCUAUACAAAAAGUGCUCAAUAGCACAGAGGAUUGAUCCAUUCCUCAUCAUGUAUGAUGCCUAAGGCAUAUUCACCAACUCUAAUACUAACAUGAUUAUCAUUUUUAGAUAUAACACAAAAAGAGCAUAUUUGAAACAGAGCUCUCAAGCUAAGAAUAUCCUCAACUAGAGUAUUCAAUUUAAUAUUUGAUGCACUUCCGGAGCAGAUUUACCAGGCCCGGACACAUGGGAAUAUGGUCCCUGUGGAGUGGGGACCCCACACGGUGACGUCGGUGAGUGCUGUGUCGUUGAUAAAAUGAAUUGCGCUGCCAAGUGGCUGUGGGCGGUCAACAAGUUUUGUUGUCAAGAGUAUUAUCUGAGUUGUCAAGAGUAUUAUCUGACAUAGCAAGACAGAUCCAUUACAGAAAUUUCUAAUCCAGAAAUUCUGCUUCGUAAAAUGCGCUAGGGUUUGGUUGCCGUUGGAGGAAGACAACCGACCUAAAUCAAAAUGCAUAUGGGUUAUUAUCACUUUACCCCCUUAAAUUAUAUCAUUGCUAUCAGUUUACCUCCUAACGUUAUUUUUUAGUCACUUUAGAGCUGCAAACGAACCCAACUACUUGCGAGCUGUUCGAGUCAAGCUCGACUUGAGCUCGAUCAAUAUCGAGCUCAAGUCGAGCUCGAGAUCAAAAUAUUAAGUUCGUUAGGCUCGCGAGCUUGAGUGUAUAUAUAUAUAUUAUUUUUUAUUUCAAUAUCGAGUAUGUAUAUUUUUUUAUUUUUAUUUUAAUAAUAAAAUUAUAUCCUUAAUAUUUUUAUUAUUUAUUAAGAAAAAUAUUAUUUUAUUAUUUUUUUAAAACUAAAAUAAUUAUUUUUUUUAUUUUUUCGAACUCGAGCUUGAGCUCAAACUCGGCUCGAAUCCAGUCAAGCUCGAGCUCGAGUUUUAAAUUGUCAGGUCGUCGAGUUCGAGUUUAACAAAAUUAAGUUAAGGUUCGACUCGAUUAUGCCAAAAUUCGACUCAGUUCCACUCAUUUACAACCCUAAGUCACUUUAUCCCCAUAAGUAAUUCAAUUUAACAUAUUAAGAAAUUUUGAAAAAAAUACCUUUUUAUUUUAUAGCAUUACUACAUUGUUAUUAUCACUUUAUUCAUUUAGAUUAUAGUGAUACAAUCACUUUAGUUCUUAACAUUAUUUUUUAGACAUUUUACCUCAUCGUUAAUCUAACUAGUAUGGUCAAAAAAUUUUAAAUAUAUUUACCCUUUUUUAUAUAUAAUUAAAAAUAAAAAAAUUGGAAUGGUUAUUCUUCUUCUUUUUUUUUUUACUUUAAGAGAUUGAAAAACAAAAAAAUAAAAGGUUUUCUCAAAUUUCUUUUUUUCACAUUUGUUAAUACUAGGAAAAGAAAAAGCGAUAGGAAAGAAGGAGACAAAAAGUUAGAUUUUGCAAAAAAAAAGAAAAUAAAGAAAAGUCUAACAUUAUCGCAUUACUUUAAGGUUGUCGAGAUUAGAAUUGGAAUUUAAUGGCAAACAAAAAAGUAAAAUAAUUUUUAAAAAUGAUAAAAGUAUUUAAUUCUUUUUUAUUUGUAAUUUUUUUAAAAAAAAAUUGAGCUCUCUCUCUCCCUAUCCCGUUCCCCCUCCCCUUCUCUGUCUUUCUAUUUUUUUCAAUAUUAAUAAAAUUACUAAGAAGAAAGAAAUUAAUAUUUUGACUUUUUUUCUUGAUACUAAAAAGGAGAAGAGUCACUUUAAAUUUUUUAUUAUUUUUAUUAUGCAAAGAGGAGGGUAUUUUCUUCUAAAGUUUUUUAACUUGUUAAGUUGGUUUAAUGGCAGGAUAAAUUGCCUAAAAAAUAACUCUAGGGGAUAAAUUGAUAAUGAGACUAUAUUUUAUGGGGGUAAAGUGAUAAUAAUUUUAAGGGUUAAACAUGUCUUUUUACUUUAAUUAACAAAUUCCGUUAAGUUUGACCUUUAAUCUUGGGAUAAAGUUAUUAAAAGAUAACGUUAAAGGGAAAAUUGAUAGUAGCACCAAAUAUUAAGAGGGUAAAGUGAUAAUAACCCUUUAUGAAUUGAUGUUUUGUCGUUGAUGUUGUAUACGGAAACCUUUAUGGUAGGAAGACUGCUACCGUAGGAAGCCAUGCAGAGUUGGACACGUGCAUUUGGUCAAAAAGCACCGAACGGAGCCGUCAUGUGGCAGUGGUAAUGCGCGUGGAGAAAGAUUUGUACCAGAUUUAUCUUUUGUAUUACCAAAGUAGUAUUAGCAAAGGAAUGACAAAACAUUACAAAAUAAUUAAUAAUUAAUAAACUUCAUAUGGGCAAAUGGGCAUUACCUAUUCAAAAUAUUAGUUUUUUGUGGACAUUUUACUCUCAAACAUUCAAUUUAUAAUAAAUAUAUGAAUGUUUUUAAGUAAAAUUCAAAAAGUGUUACAGUAAUUUCUUACAAAAAAAAAACUAGUAGGUUAUCUAUUUAACAUAAAUUAAAUAUUUUUUAAAAAAGAAAUAUCCUAUAAAGUAUCAUCUCUUUAUGGUUUUUCUCUAUUACAUGAACCAAAUACCAGGUUUUCAUAGGUAUUUUAUUCUGAAUCAUUUAAUUUAUAUUAAAUACAUAAAUAUUUGCAAAUAAAAUUCAAAAGCCGUUACACAAAUAUUUUUACGAAAGGAAAACUAGCAUGUUUUGUAUUUACUAUAAAUGAAGUAUUUGAAAGUAAAAAAAAAAUUGUCCAUAACAUACCAAUUCUUUACGAGUUUCUUCCAUUAUAUGAAUAAAGUACUAGCUAUUUAUGAGCAUUUUACUUUGAAUCAAUUAAUUUAUAUUAAAUACAUAAAUGUUUAUAAGUGAAAUUCAAAAAGUGUUACACUAAUAUUAUUACGAAAGGGAAACUAGUAGGUUUUGUAUUUAACAUAAAUUAAAUAUGUGAAAGUAAAAAAAGAAAUUACCCACUUUUUACUAUCUCUUUACGGGUUUUUUCUAUUAUAUGAAUAAAAUACUUGCUAUUUAUAGGCAUUUUACUCUAAAUCAUAUAAUUUAUGUUAAAUACAUAAAUGUUUGUAAGUAAAAUUUAAAAAGUGAUAUACUAAUGUUUUUACGAAAGAAAAACUAGUAGGUUUUGUAUUUACAUAAAGUAAAUACGUGUAUACUAAUUAGUAUAACUGUAUUACUAAAUGUAUUACUAAAUUUAGUAUAACUAAUUCAUAAUUUUUAUUAAUAAGCAUGUAUACUUAAUACUACAAUUCAUAUUAUCAAUUAAAUUACCUACACCCCUGCACAUUAUAUAUUACACAUAGCUAAUAAUAUUAUUAUUUAAAGUUUGUAACUAAUCAAAUUAAAUAUUAUAUAUGAUAAAAGAAAAUUAUAAAAAUUUUGUAAUAUUAAUAUACUAUACACAAAUAUUAUAUUAAUAGAGGCCCGCAGAGCAUGACACGUUAUAAAUUUUUUUUUUGGGAUAAUUUCAUAAACCAAAUCGCGAUUACUUUCUGUAAAGUAUCAAUUUCCCAUAAAAGACCAGCUCUUUAUGGCUUUCCUCUAUUAUAAGAACAGAGUACCCGUAAACGCAUUUAUUUAUGGGAUAAAAUAGAAUAAACCCGUUUUCCAAUAAAACAUCAGCUGUUUAUGGCUUUCUUCCAUUAUAAGAACAGAGUACUUAUAAACCCGUAAACACAUUUACUUAUGGGAUAAAAUAAAAAUUAACCCGUUUUUCAAUAAAAUACCCGCUCUUUAUGGCUUUCCUCUAUUAUAAGAACAGAGUGCCCAUAAACUCGUAAAUACAUUUAUUUAAGGGAUAAAAUAAAAAAAAACCCAUUUGCCUAAUAAAACACCGGCUCUUUAUGAGUUUCCUCUAUUAUAAGAACAAAGUACCCAUAAACCUGUUAACACAAUUACUUAUGCGAUAAAAUAAAAAUUAACCAGUUUUUCAAUAAAACACCAGCUCUUUAUGGCUUUCCUCCAUUAUAAGAACUAUGCAACCAUAAACCCGUAAACACAUUUAUUUUUGGGAUAAAGUAAACAAAACCCACUUUCCAAUAAAGCACCAGCUCGUAUUACAAUUCAUAUUAUCAAUUAAAUUAUCUACACCCUUGCACAUUAUAUAUUACACAUAGCUAAUAAUAUAAUUAUUCUAAGUUUGUAACUAACCAAAUUAAAUAUUAUAUAUGAUAAAAGAAAAUUAUAAAAAUUUUGUAAUAUUAAUAUAACUAUAUAUUAAUAUACUAUACACAAAUAUUAUAAUACAUGAACAUCUAAUAUACAUUUAUAAAUAAUAUAAUUAUAUUACUAUAUAAAUUUAAUGAAUUUAUAACACAUAUGUUUCAUAAAUAUACGGUCCUCUAUUAAUGAAAUGAUUAUACUAUAUAUUUAUACAAUAUAUUAUACAUAUGUAUAUAAUAAUUAUAAAUACAAACAUAACUAUAUUUGUUAUUAGGAAAAUAUUAUAACGAUUAUAAAUAUAUUAUAUAACUAUACUAAUAUUGUAAUAAAAAUAUAAUUAGUCCUUAAAUAUUUUAAUUAAUAUAUGCAUCACUAUCAUAAUUAUUCCAAUUCUCCCUUCCCAAACGCUAUUUUGAAACGCCGCAUUAAAUUGUCAUGCUCACUUUUCGACAAAUUAAUACAACGGUAACUGAAUUCAUACGCGAUUUCUUGAGCAUCAGUCCAUAAAAUGUGCUUGUUAAUUUUAUGGACGGUGAUGUUAGUAGCAAAUACAAUUUUUGAUACUUAACUGUAGUCUAACAACAUUUCUUUCCUAUUUUUCCAAUAUGACAAUUGCAACUACAUACUUUUACAAAGUAUACGUCGGCUUCAAUUUCAUAUAUUCAGUGUUGAUGUAAAUCAAAAGCCAUUAAUGAUAUUUCGAUGUUUUCAAAUCCGUUACAAAACUAAUUUGAAUGAAGAACAUACAACCGAAAGCUAAAUCGGAUGCUUAUGUUGAACAUUUGGGUACCAAACAUACAUAUUAUACAUAUGUGUGAAUCGUUUUCUAUUUUAAAUUGAUGCCUAACCAGUACAUUCACCUCCCGUUUUUUGCUCUUCCCGCUUCUUCUCCACCGCACGUGGCAAAUUUAAAAUUAUCAUCAAGUUGUAAAUUCCUUUCUUUCUUGACACAAUUACAUUUACAGUCAGUUGUCGCAUAUUUCCAUUCGUUACGACUUAAUUUGCAAAUGUUGUGUACCUCUGGUUCAAUCCUGCAAUUAUCCCUUCCUCUACUAUCCUAAGCGGUCAACAGCGUACAGUAUUCCUUGGUAAUCGAAUGAUCUGCAUCCGGACACGAUAUUCUGGUUCCAUCUGUCCAUGCGCGUUUGCACUUUAACCAUCCGGACACGGCAUUUUGGUUAUAUUAGUCCACGCGUGUUUCCACUUCAACAAAACGUCUCCGUCAGCAUAAAGGCCUUCUUGACCCCGUGUCAUGCUCUGCGGGCCUAUAUUAAUAUAAUAUUUGUGUAUAGUAUAUUAAUACAUAGUUAUAUUAAUAUUACAAAAUUUUUAUAAUUUUCUUUUAUCAUAUAUAAUAUUUAAUUUGAUUAGUUACAAACUUAGAAUAAUAAUAUUAUUAGCUAUGUGUAAUAUAUAAUGUGCAGGGGUGUAGGUAAUUUAAUUGAUAAUAUGAAUUGUAGUAUUAAGUAUACAUGCUUAUUAAUAAAAAUUAUGAAUUAGUUAUACUAAAUUUAGUAAUACAUUUGUACUAAUACAUUUAGUAAUACAUUUGUACUAAUAUAGUGUACACGUAUUUAAUUUAUGUUAAAUACAAAACCUACUAGUUUUCCUUUUGUAAAAAUAUUAGUGUAUCACUUUUUCAAUUUUACUUACAAACAUUUAUGUAUUUAACAUAAAUUAUAUGAUUCAGAGUAAAAUGCCUAUAAAUAGUUAGUACUUUAUUCAUUUAAUAGAAGAAACUCGUAAAGAGUUAGUAAAAAGUGGGUAAUUUCUUUUUUUUUUUUAACUUUCACGUAUUUAAUUUAUGUUAAAUACAAAACCUACCAGUUUUCCUCUCGUAAUAAUAUUAGUGUAACACUUUUUGAAUUUCACUUAUAAAUAUUUAUGUAUUUAAUAUAAAUUAAUUGAUUCAAAGUAAAAUGCUCAUAAAUAGCUAGUAGUUUAUUAAUACAGAAAAUCGUUCAAAAUGUCCCUCACAUUAAAUUAACUUUUCUCGUCCCUUACUUUUAAAAAUGUAAUUUUACGUCCCUUACAAAUUCAUAUUGACUAAAUUUGGUCCCUACCUAGAUUUCCGACUAGUUUUUGGCUGGAAUCCACCAUGUGACUUGCAUGUGAUCAUUUUUUAAGGACAAAAUUGUCAAAUCAAAUUUUUGCAUAAUCUGAUUCAUAGUCCCUCACAUUUCACAAAAUGAAUUUUUCGUCCUUAACAUUUUACAAAAUGAAUUGUUUCAUUCCUCACAUUUCAAGAAAUGAAUUUUCCCAUCCUUCACAUUUUUCAAAAUGAAUUUUUUCAUCCCUCAUUGAUCAUGUGUACGAAUAGCUUUUUUUCUAUAAACUCACGUAUAUGUCUAUUUGAUUUUACUUGAACAAUAUGAAUAACAUGUAAUUUAUCUCUAUUGAAUUUCGUCUAAGCAUGCUAAUCGUAGCUAUACACAUGCUAUUCAAUAGAUAUAUAUAUAGGGAUUUAAAACUAAUAAUUUUGUUUGAAACCCACGUAUAUAUUUAUAUGAUUUCAUCAUUUGAACCUAUUCAAUAUUUGUAACCUUUCUCUUUUGGUAAUAAUUUAUUUAUUGAGUUGUAUAAUAAGGUCAUCUAAUUAAUGGGUCUUAACUCGAAUUCUAUAAUUGUGCUAACAAAUUUCAGUUUAAAUCUGAAAUUUCUACUCGACACUUUUAAGACCAACAGUUAAAUUACUUGCCUUGUGAUUGUCUUAAAAUUUGAAAGUGCCAAUCACUUAUUUCUUUUUAUCAUACUUUUCUUUUGUUUACUUUUUCUAUCCAAAUUUAAUUCGAUAUAACACUUGAUAAUAUUUAGGAUUAAAUGUCAUCUUUAUUUUCAAAUUUCGAGUAAAAAAAAAUGAAUAUAAGUGAAAAACUAACAAUUUUUUUAAAACACGUGUAUAUAUCUAUUUGAUUUCACUUGAGUAGUACGAAUAGUAUGUAAUAUAUCUCUAUUUGAUUUUAUAUGCUAUUUGUAUUGUUCAAGUGAAAUCAAAUAGAUACAUGAAUUUAAAAAAAAAUUAUUCACACACAUGAUCAAUAAAAGAUGAAAAAAUUCAUUUUGAAAAAUGUGAAGGAUGAAAAAAAUUCAUUUUGUGAAAUGUAAGGGAAAAAAAAUUUAUUCUAUGAAAUGUGAGGGAUUAUGAAUCGAAUUAUAUAAAAUUUGAUUUGACAAUUUUGCCCUUAAAAAAUGAUCACAUGCAAGUCACAUGGUGGAUUCCGAUAAAAAACUAGUCAGAAACCUAAGUAGGGACCAAAUUUGACCAAUGUGAAUUUAUAAGGGACAUAAAAUUAUAUUUUUAAAAGUGAGGGACGAAAAAAGUUAUUUUGCAAAAUGUGCGGGACGUUUUGAACGAUUUUCUCUUAUUAAUAUAAUGAAAAAAACUCGUAAAGAAUUGGUAUGUUAUGGACAAUUUUUUUUUACUUUCAAAUACUUCAUUUAUAUUAAAUACAAAACAUGCUAGUUUUUCUUUCGUAAAAAUAUUUGUGUAACAGCUUUUGAAUUUUAUUUGAAAAUAUUUAUGUAUUUAAAAUAAAUUAAAUGAUUCAAAAUAAAAUACCUAUAAAAACCUGGUACUUGGUUCAUAUAAUAGAGAAAAGUCAUAAAGAGUUGGUACUUUAUGGGAUAUUUUUUUUAAAAAAAUAUUUAAUUUAUGUUAAAUAGAUAAUUUACUAGUUUUUUUUGUAAGAAAUUACUGUAAUACUUUUUGAAUUUUACUUAAAAGCAUUCAUAUAUUUAUUAUAAAUUGAAUGUUUGAGAGUAAAAUGCCCAUAAAAAUCUAGUAAAAUACCCAUUUUGAAUAGGUGUUGUUGUCCCCAAUCUAAAACCCACUUUCCAAACAAACAAAUUUAUUCUAAAUUUUUUUUUUUGGAUAAUUUCAUAAAGUUUGCUCGCGGUCACUUUCUGUAAAGUAUCACUUUUCCACAAAAGACCAGCUCUUUAGGCCUUUUCUCCAUUAUAAGAACAGGGUACCCAUUUUCUCAUGAACAAAUUUAUUUAUCGAAUAAAAUAACAAUAAACCCGUUCUCUAAUAAAACAUUAGCUCUUUAUGAUUUUCUUCCAUUAUAAGAACAGAGUACCCAUUUUUUCCAUGAACAAAUUUAUUUAUCGGAUAAAAAAAAUAAACCCAUUGUUCAAUAAAACACCAGCUUUUUAUGACUUUCCUCCAUUAUAAGAAUAGAGUACCCAUUUUUCCAUAAACAAAUUUAUUUAUAUAAGAACAGAGUACCCAUUUUUUCAUUAUAAGAACAGAGUACCCGUUCUCCAAUAAAACACCAACUCUUUAUGGCUUUCAUCCAUUACAAGAACAGAGUACCCAUUUUUUCAUAAACAAAUUUAUGUAAUCGGAUAAAAUAACAAUAAACCCGUUCUCCAAUAAAACACCAGUUCUUUAUGGUUUUCCUCCAUAAAUUAUCCAUUUUCCUUUUUUUCCAUAAGCUAAUUUAUUAGUUGGAUAAAAUCAGAAUAAAAUUAGGUUGAAUGGCAAAUUACCCUUGAGGAUACAAUGGAACAGUAGAAACUAACCUAUAGCAAGUUUAAACUCCGUUUCCACUACAAACAUAUGCUAGAAAUUAUUUUUGCAAACUCAAGACACCUAAUUUAUAAAAUCUUAAGAAACCUUUAAAACUGUUAUAAAAAGCAACUUAUUCAUUCUAAAUUUUUGUUUGGGAUAAUUUCAUAAACCUUCCCAGAGGUUUCUAUCAAUUUUACUUGGCACUCACAAAUAUUGAAAAAUCUCAACUUAUCUCUCUUUUUUUUUUUGGGUCUGAAACUCACUUGCCCCCCUUACUUUAAACUUUCAAAACAAAGCAACACAAAUGUAACUUUGUUGGAUGCAUAACCACCAGUCUCCUUUUCAUAAUUGUAGGGCACUGAUGGAUUACUAAUUUAUUUACUAGAUAAAAUCAGUGUAAAUUGCAAAUAAGUGGGUUUAAUAUGUUAUACCCGUUUAUUCAUAAAUUAUUACCCAUUUACGGGUAUGCUGCAAAAAGUGCCCAUUUUCCCAGUUUCCAAAAAGUAUAAAAAUUUGUAUUUGAUACUAACAUCACCGUCCAUAAAGUAGCAAGCACAUUUUAUGGAGUGAUGCUCACGAAACUACGUACGAAUUCAGUUACUGUUGUACUAAUUUGUCGAAAAGUGAGCAUGACAAUCUAAUGUGGAGUUUCUGAACAGAGUUUGGGAAUGAAUAAUUCGAAUAAUUAUGAUAGUGAUGUAUAUAUUAAUUAAAAUAUUUAAGGACUAAUUAUAUUUUUAUUACGAUAUUACUAUAGUUAUAUAAUAUAUUUAUAAUCGUUAUAAUAUUUUUUUAAUAACAAAUAAAGUUAUAUUUGUAUUUAUAAUUAUUAUAUACACAUGCAUAAUAUAUUGUAUAAAUAUAAAGUAUAAUUAUUUAAUUAAUAGAGGACCGUAUAAUAAUGAAACGUAUGUGUUAUAAAUUGAUUAAAUUUAUAUAGUAAUAUAUUUAUAUUAUUUAUAAAUAUAUUUAUAAAUGUAUUUUAGAUGUUCAUGUUAUUAUAAUAUAUAUGUUUAUGUAAUAAUACUUCAGUUGUACUUCGUUUGUACUUCAGUUGUAUAUAAAUGCGUUUCCUUUCUUCAGUUGUACUUCGUUUGCUCCUCCUCGCGUAAGCAUUGCAAUAUAACGGGUCCGUUUGGUCCUCAUUCUUCAUAGACACGUGUCGACCUCUGUAUGGCUUCCUACGAUAGGAACGGUCAAAGUGCUUCCUACCAUAAAGGUAUCCGUUGUAUACUCAAGAAUUGAUCAACAUACUCAAGAAUUGACUAUUGUUGUUGUUGCUGCUGCUGCAGACUCGUGAAUAAGACAAAAAAAAUUUAUUUUUCCUGCUGCUGCUGCAACUAUCUCUGGAUCUACAUUAGACAAUGAUUGAUGCAUUAAUCAUCAUCGAGGUAACUGCUCAAUUGGGAGAACGUAAAGAGCCGAGACCCUGUUCUCAAAACAUGAACCCAAUGGCCACAAUAUUCCAAUUUCAAUAAUGUCCAAUUACUGCAUCGUAUGAUUCUGGGGAAUUCCACUAAAAUUGUAGGCUAGUAGCAAAUUAAUUGAGCAUUGGUAUAUCGGUAUAAAGAGCUAAAAUAGACAUGAGAUGAUUCCUUUUGAACCCCCCCCCCCCCCCCCCCCCCACCACAAAAAAAACAAAAAAAUUAAAAAAAAAAAAGAAGUUUACGUAUGCAGUAGUCUCACCUCACACCAUCAUUUAGGAAAUUUUUUUUCCUUAAUUUUUUUUUAGCAAAACAUUUGGGAAAAUUGGUAGCCUCUAAAAAUGUGAUGCCAAUGGCAUGAGCUGUUUAUUUUGGUUAUCCUUUAGAAUGUUUGUUCUUCUGAAAGAAUUUUCUUUAUAAAUGGCUACACAAAACUGAAAAGAGAAUACUCAAAAUAAAGAAAACAAUUUUGUAAAAGACCAUUGACAAGACAAGACUAUUAGGAUCACAAAUUACUUAGUUGUAGGGAAAGAAAAGUACGUGUCCAGAAUUCUAAUAGAAUCGCUAAAAGUCCUUUCCCCUACAUCGGUGAUUGGUUGUAGCAAAAUUGUCUGGCUUUAACUAAAGAAAUAAGCACAAAAUAAAAGAAGAAAAAUACGCUUUUGCCCCAACUUGGCAAUAGCUUUUGAAGUUCCAACACGUCACAUUCGGCUCUUGAACUACUCUCAUGAUUUCUCAAUAUUUCUGUAAAGUUUCCAACUGAAUCAUUCCUGAGAAUUACUCUUACAAAACAUAUUUGAUUUUGCCAAAAUGGAAGUAUGAGGAUAAAUUAGGAAUCAAGUACAAUUAUUUAUUUUUAAUUUAUUUUGUGUGUGUGUGUGUUUUUUUUUUUUUGUGGAUAGAUCAGAGAACGAUAGCAAAGGCCAACAAUUUGUGUGGCCUGAACCAUUUCCCAUAACCAGGCCCAACACAAACAAGAAGCGGAAGGAUAUUGCGGAAAUUUUGUAGAUCUUUAGUAGACUAGCCGAGUUGUUUCCCUUCAUGCAGUCAUGCACGAGGAAGCGGAAUCCGUUCAUUUGUUGCAGCAGCAUAGACAAUGACUUGCAAUCAAUGACCAAAAAUGGACCAGCAUGUGAUCUUGAGAGGCAAAAAUGAAUGUGACAAAAACCAUCGAAGACAAUGCUUCCUCUUCAUAUCCUUUUCUCACUAUGUAUCAUUGAAUUGCACCAGUACCCCAGUCCUGAUAUCAAAAACUGCAGCACAUGCUGUCAAAACUCCUGGAAAGGUAUAUUGAUUUGCCUCAAGACCCUCCACCUUCAUGCCUCUAAAACAGUGAAUUGCUUUGUGUACAUCACCAUUCAGAGAAUACCCAUUAAUCAUAGCGAUCCAAGUAACGCGAUUUCUCCCACUCAGCUUUGGUCACGCAUAAGCACUUUGCAUACGUACCAAUAAGGGUAGUGUUUACAAAUACAUUUGUAUCAAAAUUGGUCUUAUUGGCAUAUCCAUGGACCUGUUUGCCUUUCAAAGGCAAACCCAUCACAGAACGCACCCUUAGAACACUGCCUAACGUGCACUGACUCGGCUUGUGACCGUCGCAUUGCAUCUCCCAAAACAACUGAAUACCUUCAGUUUCGUACCCAUAUUUGCAAUACCAACUGAAAUGAGGGAUGGUCAAGGGAUUGAACUCUUAUUUGGGGUGUAACCAAACACUUUCCUUGCUUCAGUUAACCUCCCUGAAUCAGCAUACCCAGAAGCCAUAGUGUUCCAAGUGAAUUCACCACUAUGGGGCAUUUUCUCAAACAGUUCUGUGCUUCAUCUAUUUAGCCUGAUCUCACUAGCUCAUUCAAGGAUCUGUUGAUACCAAGCAGAGAAUAGUUUGUACAUCUUUCGUUUCUGCAACCUCGGCCACAAAAAUCGUGAUCUACUUGAAAGUCUUGAGAGUGUAGUCUGUAAUUUCACCUAACGACUGACUGACGUUAUAAUGUCUAUAUGUUGAGGAAUGGGUGAGCGAAAUUACUUAACGGCGUCGUUUAACAUUGUCACUUAAAAUUUUUUAUUUUUUUGGCAAUGAAAAACCACGAUCAGCUUUUUUUUUUUUUUAACAUUUGUUUAACCCAUUCUAUUCUAUUCCAGAGGAAAGGGACCGACAAAAAUUACCACCAUAGAAAACGCUGAAAGUGGCAAGUCACAUGACUGGCGGAAGUAAAAAUUUGAUCCCUUAACACUCAAGUGACUACGAUACCCAAAAAUUCCCCAGCACUUGCACUGCCUAAAUUUAAUGACACUAACCUGUAUAUAUCAUCUAUAUAAUGGAGUGUCCAUUGAGAAAAGGAUCAAUAUUCGUUGACAGUUAGAGUUAUAUAAACAAUCGAAGCUGGGCACUUGAUAAUGAUUAAAAGAUCAAUAACUAUAUUAAAUUUCAAGUUUGGACAGCCCAAAUCUUUACUCCACAAGUCUCUCAACCUCUUUAUUUACAAACUUUUUUUCAGUCACUAUCAAUAGCAAUAUUUCAUUCUCACAUUUUUGGUUGUUUAUAAUUCAUUGUAGACCGAAUUAAAACAUUAAGAAUUCUUUGACAAUUCAAUGUAUAGGUCCUUAUGCCAAAAUAAUGGUUGCAACUUGCAAGCUAAACCACAAGCUAUAGAAAGCUACCACAAAAAGAAACUUGGAUUCUUACAUUGGUUGAGUUUUAUAAGUUUUACCUUCUCUUCCACAGAAAUCCUAACUUUAUGAAUAGCUCCUCCUUUCAUAAGGUUAAUAAAAACCUCGCAUUCAAAAUUUUGUAUUGAGAUUUAUGAGUUUCGAAUAUCCUGAUAAGUAAGUAGAAAGUAUUUUGUUAGUCCCUUUGCUUUGAAGAAGGAACAAAAAGAAGGUUGGAUACGUAGUUAUAUUUAUGAGUAUCCACAAAAUUUAACCAGUAGAUACUAGACAAAACAUGAAGCCAGUUAAAAAUAAAAAUAAGAUUCUCGACAUUGAAUUAUCAUUCAUGCACACAAAAUAAACACGAGCAGAAACACUUCUAAAUACAGGACAUGGCAAAUGGCAGCUGAAUUGGCUGACAGAAAAUUGAGAUAUAACAUGAAGAAUAUGGUGAAUUUCAGUCAAACCUGGAAAAACACACUCUACUUGCUGGAUGGAUGCGUAAAAACCCGGAAACCAUCCUGAUAAAUUCUUGCAGAUAGCUGGUGUUGCUUGAAUUCGUGGCAAUGGAUCUCAAGAUGGCAGGCACGGAAUUCAUUUGGACUAUAAGGGAAAACGCCAGAAAAAUCUCCAUUUUGACUGAUGAAACUAUCUCUUCCGGCCAUGUUUGUAUAUCAGAGAUGAAUUUCAAGAAUCUAUAUAUCUCUUAGGUUUGUUGUUAAUGGUAAUGGGAAUACUAUUUGUAAAGGGAGCAAAUGCCCUCCAGGUCGGAAAUAGAAAGGCCUUUGGCUUUCUUCAAAUUUUCUCUAGCUUACUUUUGUCAUGGCAUGAUGAGAAAGUACAUUUUAAUGCUGAGAAACGAUGGAAACAGACAAAACAAGAAAAGUUCAGCAAUAUCAAAACACCCAGUCCUGUAUAUGCAUUGCUGGAACAAACUCAGAGGCCGCAGCACUGAGAACAUCGUGCAAUAGGAAGCUCAACGGAGGAGCAUGUAAUGGAUCAGACAGAGUUGAAUUAGGGAUAAGAGAUAGAAGGAGAAAAGAGAAGUGAUCAGAAAGGGAAAUUGGGGGAAAGAGAAGAAAGGGCAGAGAAGGAGAAAGAUGAGAUCUUAUUGAGAGGGAAAAUCUGGAUUACAAUCAAGCUAAGCUCCCUAGUAGACAGACGCAUUAUUUAUACAGAUUAGAGCCUUCAGCUCAAGAAAACAAUCUGCAAUUGACUAACUAACUUUCCCGCCAAAUAACUAACUUCCUAAUUCUGUUGUAAUAAUGCUCAGCCACGUGAUCCUGCCCUUGUGAUCACAUUUCCUCUGCUCAUUCCUUUGCUGACUCAUCUUGGUAGCUUGUGCAUGAAGCUUGAACUGAUACGGGCCAUAACAAUACCUCCCCCUAAAAAUAAUCCUAGUCUCUAGGAUUGAUUGAUUGUGAAAGCAGGGAAUUGGGCAUGAAUGAACGACAGGUCUUCCCAAGUGGCUUCCUCAGGUUCCAUGUUUUCCCAUUGCACCAACACCUGAUCUAUUCCCUGACCCUUCCUAUAAAUUGUUCUCCUGUCCAAUACUGCUAAGGGCACUACCUCGAACUCACUAUCUGCAUUCAAGGUAGGCAAUGUAGUACUGACUGGAGCCUCCUUAGGUGACUUCUUGAGCAGUGAGACAUGAAAGACAGGAUGGAUGUUAGACCCUGCAGGUAGCUGCAACUUAUAGGCUACAGUACCUACCUUCUGUUCCACCUGAUAGGGUCCGUAGUACUUGGCAGUGAGUUUUAAAUUCCUUCUCACGGCUACAGAAGUUUGUUUGUAAGGUUGGAGCUUCAGAUAAGCCCACUCUCCCACUUCAAAUUCCCUGUCACUCCUCCCUUUAUCAGCCAACUGUUUCAUUCUAUUCUGAGCCUUUAGCAGGUUCUCCCUGAGCAAGGAAUUCCACCCCAAUCUCUCCUGUGCCCAAUCUUCCACUGCAGCCACUAACGUGGUAUCAGGCCUCAGAUUCAGCUGGAUAGGUUUGUAACCAUACAAGGCCUGAAAGGGUGGCAUUUGCAGACUGCUAUGAUAGUUGGUGUUGUACCACCAUUCAGCUGCAGGAAGCCAUUUCCUCCAUUUCCCUGGUUGAUCCAUGCACACGCUUCUCAAAUAGCUCUCCACACAUCUGUUAACCCUCUCAGUCUGUCCAUCAGAUUGAGGGUGGUAAGCAGAAGAAAAGUUGAGCUCUGUGCCCAGCAUUUUAAAAAGUUCCUGCCAGAAUAGGCUAGUAAAAGCCCUGUCCCUGUCAGAGACAAUGUGGGUUGGUAAGCCAUGCAACCUGAAAAUUUGAUCAAAGAAGGCCUCUGCUACACUUUUAGCAAUGUAAUGAGAGGUCAUAGGAAUGAAGUGAGCAUAUUUAGUAAACCUAUCCACCACUACAUAGAUGACAUUGCAGCCAAAAGACUUGGGUAGCCCCUCUAUGAAGUCCAUAGAAAUUUGUUGCCAAGCUUGCUCAGGUAUAGCUAAUGGUUGCAGCAGUCCUGGAUAAGAGCAAUUUUCACUCUUACUCCUCUUACAAAUAUCACACCCCUGUACAUAUUGUUCCACUUCCCUCUUCAUUCCGGGCCAAUACACAUAGCUCUUGAUCCUCUGAUAAGUACCAUGAUUUCCAGAGUGCCCCCCAAGGCAAGAAUCAUGGAAGCAGGAGAUCAAUUUUUGUCUUAACCCGGAGCCUGCACCUAUCCAUAUCCUACCCUUAAACCUCAAAAUCCCCUGGUGAUAAGAGUGGUCAGGCAGUGCAUCAGCUCCCAUAGCCAACUUCAUCAGUGCUUCUUUAUCUAUUUCAUCCCCAAUGUAGCUCUCAGCCACCAUUGUCAACCAUUGAGGUUUAAUGGUAGUAAGAGAAUGCACAAAUGCUUCUGCUGGAUCUCCCUGCUCACCUCUCCUUGACAAUGCAUCUGCAACCACGUUGUCUUUACCCCUUUUGUACUGAAUCUCAUAAUCCAUUCCCAUCAGUUUAAUCAACCAUUUCUGCUGAAGGGAAGUGUUUAUUUUCUGGUCCAGCAAGUAUUUGAGGCUCUCAUGAUCAGUCUUUAUAAUGAAAUGGUUUCCCAUCAAGUAAUGUUUCCAUUUUUGAACUGCAGUGAUGAGUGAUAGCAGCUCCUUCUCAUAAGUGGAUCUGGUCUGAUUUUUCUGUCCUAACACUUGACUGUAGUAGGCUAUAGGUCUCCCCUGUUGCAUCAGAACUGCCCCAAUGGCUAACUGACUAGCAUCAGUUUCCAACAGAAAUGGCUUUGAAAAAUCAGGUAAAGCUAACACUGGUGUCCUGCUCAUGGCCAUUUUCAACUGCUGGAAUGCAGAUUCUGCAGCAGUACCCCAAGCAAACUGAUCCUUCUUCAGCAACUCAGUGAGAGGUUUGGCCAUCUCUCCGUACCCCUUAACAAACCUCCUGUAGUAACCUGUUAAACCCAAGAAUCCUCUGAGGGCCUUCAAGCAGGUAGGAGUUGGCCAGGACAGCAUAGCUUCUACCUUGGAUGGAUCAGUUUUCACCCCUUCACUAGUAAUUAUAUGUCCCAGAUACUCCACUUGAUUCUGACCAAAUGAACAUUUUGACAUCUUUGCAUAUAGGAAGUGUCUUUUCAAGGUCUCUAGUACUAGGGAUAAGUGGUGUAAGUGAGUUUUGUGGUCUGGACUAUAGAUCAGAAUGUCAUCAAAGAACACAAGGACAAAUUUUCUGAUGUAAGGCUCAAAAACUGAGUUCAUUAGUGCCUGAAAGGUGGCAGGUGCAUUGGUGAGUCCAAAUGGCAUUACAAGGAACUCAUAUAGUCCAGAGUGAGUCCUGAAAGCAGUUUUGGGGAUGUCAUCAGAGUUCAUUCUGAUUUGGUGGUAGCCUGAUCUAAGGUCAAUUUUAGAAAAGACCCUUGCUCCAUGUAACUCAUCUAACAGGUCAUCUAUAAUGGGAAUUGGAAACUUAUCUUUUAU